This 76029-nucleotide long non-coding RNA is filed under the name Xyrichtys novacula (pearly razorfish). The record is from RNAcentral. Lineage: Eukaryota; Metazoa; Chordata; Actinopteri; Labriformes; Labridae.
UCUCAAACUCAAUCACGUUGCUGUCACAGCACCAUUAGGUCUUGGUUGUUACCUUACGUUUAUGGAUUAUAGUUUAAUGUGCUUAUCUGGUACUGGCCCCGACUCAGUACAUGCUACCAUGACAGACAGCCAUCUCAACACUAGUGUUUAAUCAGAACUGAAAAACAGUCAGUCUGCUGUUGUAUCAGUCUUCUCGCUUCCACCCAGGAUGCAUCUUUUUUUCCCUCUGGAAAGUCUCAAAAUCGCAUCGCGCUUGAUGUGUGUAGUCAAAAUUCACCUCAAAAUAUUUCGUAAUUUCAUGUUGUGUAUUUGCAGCAGUCUCAGUGUGUAAGGACCUUAACACUGAUUUUAAGCAUUAAAAAUUAAAAUAAAAGAAUUUUUAUCCUUGUUGCUAGUUUCUUGUUAGCUUUUCAAAAUCAUAGAAAAGGAAUCGUAGGGGGCGCAUAGAUGGCUGAGUUGAUUAGCGCGCCCCAUGUAUGGGGACCACGGUCCCCGCAGCGGUUGCAGGUUCGAGUUUGGCCCCAACCAUGUGCUGCAUGUCCUCCCCCCUCUCUCUCUAUCUCCCCACAUUUCGCCCUGUACGAUCAAUUAAAGGCAAAAUUGCUGCAAAAAAUACUGAAAAUAAAAAUUCCUUAAAAAAACUUAAAAUAAAAAAAUACUUUAAAAAAAAAUGAAAUCGUACUAGUUUCAGACUGUUUCUAGACCAGUAAAAACUCAUCUUAGUGCCUUUAAGUCAAAACACAUAACACAAAACACAUAGCCCUGUAAAGCUAAAAGGUCUAGAUCAGGGGUGGACAGUUAAUUUUUACAUGGGGCCACAUGAGAAACCUGAAUUGUGUUGGAGGGCCGAACCAACAAUAACUUCAACUUCAAAUCAGGGGGGCUCACACAUACAGAAAAGCAAGCCCAAAUAAGUCCAUGUAGAGUCUCAUUCAUCCAGGUCAUGGUUAAAUAAGCAACUACUAGUUAUCUCUUAUAACAAGCAGACUUGACCACUAUAAGGCGUCUACGUAAAUUUUUCCUAUGUUUACAAAUGCAGAUCUAGGAUGUACACACGUGCGCCCAAACGGAAAUAAAACAACGGCUAGGUUUUCAAAAUAAAAGCACCACACAUGUAUAGCAUAGUGAUAAUUUGUUUGACGGAUCUCACGAAGGGUCGAACAGGGACAUCCACGGGCCGUAAAAUGGUCUGGUCAAGAUGCAACUCUAAUUUCAAGAUAUUACAAACCAAAUAUAAAGAAUAUAAAGCUGAAUAUUAGCAAAGUUUAUUAAAAUAGUCUUUAAAAUGCAUUUUACCUGCUGCAUUGGUAAAUAGCAUUCGCAGACUUACAUCAAUUCAUUAUAAUUUCACAUCCUGCCUCAAUUUAUCUGUUUAUUUUUGACCAAUACAAUCAGUAAAUGAGUGAAUUAGGGGGCAUUUUAUCAUAGGCAGACCCUGUGAAUUAUGUAUGAGCACAUUUACCCAAACUAAUUGUUAAAGCGUAAUCUACGGCAUGAAUCUGUGUAGUGAUUUUGAGUUCGCGACCAUCCAGCCUCGCAGAUAUAAAUCUCAAAGUGUUUGACAUUUUCUUAAUCCACUCACAUACGUCAGCACAAACACAUUUCUAGAGUGUUUUCACAGAACUGACUUUAAAUUCCCUGACAUAAGAUGAGAUAUAAUUUGUGUUUGGUCCAAGAAUAGUCCUCAAUUUCAGAAAAGUGGAACCGGCUUUAUGUAUUUCUAAGAGCGGCUCCCUUAACUGCGUUAUUUGCGCUACAAAGCUAACUCGUGUGUAUUAUUUUUUGGAUGACACAAAAUGCUUGAACCCGAGAGAAAGCUUCUUAGAUAGAAUAGGAUUUGUAAUCACAGUCAUCUUUCGCAACAUUGUGUCCAAUUGUAGAUAGAAAGAUGUACAGGCAUCAAAAAGCACCAGAGGAUGGAUGUUCGGGAGCUUAAAAGCUUUACAUACGCCAGUGUCUCGCUGUGGACCAAAUCUCUUUCUUGGAACUGUUACUCUACAAAGAUGCAGCUGUAAAGCAAACAUCAUGAGAUUGAAGCUCAUCUACAGAAACCUCAGUAUAUACAUUAUCUAUAAGGAGAUGGUCUUAGAUCCUGCUUUGUUUGUACACUGAGAACUGAAUUAUUAAGCUCCUCUGCUCAUUUUCUUCCCCCCUCAAAAAGGCUUUGAUAACAUUUUUGAAAUCCUUCAGGGAGCGGCUUUCAUUCCCCCUUUUCUGCACAUUUCAACAUCUGGCACAGUUGUCGUUUUUUUUCCCUCCCUUCCUUUGGGGAGGGUCACCGUGGCAGCAGGUCUUAAGAGCAGGCCACACGUACCCUCUCCCCUCUCCCUCUUCCUCCCAGGGGAGUUUCACCUGUCCUCAGGCCAGCGGAGAGACAUUGUAAUCUAUGAAAAGUCCAAGGUUAGCCCCAGGAUCUGCACCCGGUGGGAUAUGUCAACUACUUGCUGCAAAUUCCCCGCGGGCGUGAAGGCAUAACACAUCAAGCGCCUGCCCCUGAUCUGAAGCAGCACAGGCUGUCAUCAAAGCACACCCUUGGACUCUUAAGUACUUCAUAUAACAGACUGGAGUGUUUUCUAUUCAAACAUCAGAAGCGAGGCGGCUCUGGAAUAAAACAAUUUUCGCUUGUUGAGAUAAACGUCACUUUGCGCUCUUACUUUAUACUUAACCCUACGUGCCGCUCAUGCCAAAAGACGACUUCUCCUUUUUACAAAUGAACAGUCCGCGAUCUCAACCCAGACUUUUAGAGGUUACACAGAAAGUCCUCUGUGCAGGAAGUACAUUGAAAAGAACUUGUAUUUAGUCUCUUAAUCAAUCACUGGGGUGCUGGAUCGAUAGCUUAAAUCCGGUUCUCGCAGCCCCAGGUAGAUCGCAUUAUUAAUUUCUGUCGGCUCCGUCUAUGCAACCCAAGAAGAAGAAGAAGGCCGUUUCCCAAAAUACACCAGGCGGGAGAGGUUAGCUCUCUCAACUCAGAGAGAGAGAGGAAACAUGGAUGGGGAUGGGGCUCUGUAUGCAAAAUUUACAGAAGUUGUUUAUCUUCGUCAUCCCUCAUAUUUAAGUCGGAUAAUAAAACCUUUAUUUCCUAACCUCUGCUCUCCGGUGGCGCAACUUCCUCCUCUGCAUCGUAGUGAUGAACAACAAAACGAUGAACACAAAAGAACAGCUGACAAAUUGCAGAGGCUGUUUCGCUCUAAACGCCGAUACUUAUAUUAGCGAGAGGAACGACACAAAUGGAUAGUGGUGUGCUAUGGCGAACCGGGGACCUAUGAUCCUUUCAUGCAUCAUUUUAAGUGACACGCUGCUCAAUACAGAUAUUCCCUAUCGGCGAAUCAAUACUCCCAAUGAAAAAAUAAAAGUGUUAACUCCGAAGUAAAAGGACAAAUUUAUCUGAAAUAAUGUCCCGGUAAACAGAAACACCUGGGGUCCUGGAGUGGGAAAAAGACUUCUUUUUUGAUUGUGUUCCACUUUUUCUCUCGACUUCACUCUUUUCCUGCCUCUGUCUAUUUUCUUUGUAAUAUGCUGGAUAGCUGAAGGGUACUAUGAGGCUAGCUACGUGAGGGUGUAUUAAUGAAAAAAGCACCUGCACCGAAAACCAUUUAUCAGAUCUCGCUGUGGCUAGCGGACACGGGGAAUGGAGCGCGCGGAGGCCGUUUGUGUUUAUGUGCGGGGGUUUGUGCGUGUAAACGUGCGUUCCGGUUUAAGUGUCGCCGGUGUGACACAUUCAUCACAGGGGACAUAAAUGAGCUGAACUCAAGAUGGGAGAGGGCGCCAUGUGUGUUAACUGUGAAAAUAAUACAAACAGAAAGAGGAGGAGGAGGGGGAAAAAGAGAGGGGAGGGUGCUCGUGAAGUGAUAUGAGUGUGCAAGUAUUUACUCAUGAGUGUGUGAGAGUGUUGAGAGUGCUAAAUGGGGCUUAUUAAAGAGGCAGGGGAGAAAUGCCACUGUCAUCUGCUUCAAGGAGGAGUCCUCGUCUUCUGCAUCACUUUUUUUUUUUUUUUUUUUAUUUGUGCAGUGUGACAAUACAAGACAUACAACAAACAAUGGCAUUUGUGGUUUUGUGUGUGUGUGUGUGUGUGUGUGUGUGUGUGUGUGUGUAUUAUAUAUGUGAAUAAUAAUGAAAAAAAUAAAUAAAUAAAUAAAUAUUACAAUUGUCAGACAAGCAAAAGAAAAAGAAAAUUAUACUACACGAACAAUAUCAAUAAUAAUAAUAAUAAUAAUAACAACAAUAAUAAUAACAACAACAACAACAACAAUAACAACAACAACAACUACAACAAUAAUAAUAAUAAUAACAAUAAUAAUAAUAAUAAUAAUAAUAAUAAUAAUAAUAAUAAUAAUAAUAGUAAUAAUAAUAAUAAUAAUAAUAAUAACAACAAUAAUCGUAAUAAUAAUAAUAAUAAUAAGAAGAAGAAGAAGAAGAAGGAAUUUGUGGACCACCUCGGGUCCCUUCUGCAUCACUUUUAAAGGAGGGUCAGAAAAUGCUUAGUCACAGGUGGUCAGGUGUGUGCAAGGAAAUUCCCUCUACUGGACUGUUAAAAACUGGUGCGGUGAUUAGGGAUGUGCCGAUAUACAAAUUAAUCGCGAUAUGCGAUAUUAAACGGCUGCAGUGAUGAAAUCGUAAGGUACUGUAAUAAUCGUCCCACAAUUAUAAUUUAAAGACGAGUGUCAGCGUCACUCAAUGGAGGCGAGCGAAGCCGACUGCUUACCAACCUAACCCGCUUGUAGUCUUACCCACGGUGUCAAAGCCUCGGUGGCAAAAUGUACAAACAAACCACCACAAAAGUCGUCCCAAAUCCAAAACAAACUCUCGGAUUGAGUACAUUAAUGCCAGCCUAACAAAAACGGGAACAUUAAAAGAGAAAAUGAAGAAAUUUUACAAGAAAUGCGUGGCCACCCACAAUGCAUUGCGGCCACACAAAGCACUGUUGGAGGGUGUCCCCUCUGUGAACCAGAAACAGUUUGAAGUUUGACACACGUUCAAACUUCCAGCCAACGUAACGAUGCAGCUGGACCAAGAGCAGUCGGAGACUGAGAAUGACGAAACGCCUCGGCUGUAUCCUCCUAUUAAAAAGGUUUCGUCGGCAGUACGGACGUUUUACAGCUUCACAAAACAGACAGAGCAGGUCAACCUGACACCAAUCUGCAGGUUAUGCCGUAAGAGAGUUGCAGCACUGUUGUCCAACACUUCAAACCUACGUGCUACGUGACAACGUUAGUGACGUUUCUGCUAACUUUAGCUCCAAAAAGCUAAUGCUCCCAACGUCGCAUUAGCUGCCUCUUGCUCAUAUUGUUUGUGCAUGUCAUGCUUUGCACAAAGAAGUGAUUGGUGUGACUGUUAGCUUCAGUGCUUAGCUUCCUAAAAUUAGAGCUUUGUAGUGCUGCCACCGCUUUCUGCUAGCUCCUGUCAGUGGUCGUCGUUCUUUUUUGGCCAACAAAAAAACCUUUUAUAUCCAUUUUUAAUAGAAAGCCGGUGCUUACCACUGAGUCCGCCUUCUGCCGCGCCAAGUCCAUCUAUGAAUAUUUGACCUUUGACUUGGUAAGUGGCCUGCCCCCCUUUACCUGUAAUUAGCUAACACAUUGCCUUCGAUCGAUUGGAUUGGUUGGAUUGAUGACAUGUCAAGAUAUAUGGGAUUGACUGAAGAAGACUACUCUGACGGAAAAAAAACAGACCCUGAAUCAAAUAAACAAGGGCAGGCACAGCUGACUCCGUGGGUGGGCACAGCCCCCCAGUGCCCACCCAUGCCGCCGGGCCUGCGUUCACUGAAAUUUUAGAAGAAUUCUAAAUGCGGUCCCUCGUCUGCUGGCUGCUCACCUGACUUUGCUGCGUGCUAUAGCAACUGAAGUGAGAAAAAAACGAAUCACUUGAGGAAGAUAUUCAGUUCGGUAGGGUCACUUGAAAGAUUUGGUUCUUUUGAACAAAUCGUUUGCGAACAACACAACACUACCAAGAAGAAUUUUGCCAGAAUACCAACUUUAUCCCCACCCCCAUCCUGAUGCAUGGUUCCGUUUCAACCUGCGUUUGCAAACUGUCGUCCAAGACAGUUGGAUUUAGAGGGGAUUUUGAGCCCAUGCAGUGAUUUCCACUACAGAGCUUUGGCAGUACAACAGUAUUGAGUGUCUAUAUGGUAUUACAUGAGAUACUUCAACAUUACCAUGUCAUAAUAUCAGAUGGGGAUAUCUGUCUGAACAAUAAUGACUUCAUAUGCUUGCACAUCCCAUCCUCAUUUCCGUGCAUCAUUGAAUAUUUCCACUGCCUCAAACCAAAGAGGAACGAGAGGCUGAAAUCCAAUUUUUACGCUUUGGUGUUGAACAUGCUUCAUACGAAUGGGCUGAAAUACACACAUGCAAAAAAGGGUCUUAAUCAAGAGUAUCUUGGUAGCCCCUCGGCUCCAAAUCCAAGCCUCUUCACACUGAUUGAGCAAAUUAAAUCUGUGGUUUAUUGUGCAUGAGCUUCCUGUGAUCUAACCUGGAUAUUUGAUGUGGUUAUUUCCAAGUAACAGAUUGAGAUUUUGGAAAAAUUCAGAACUUGUUCCUCCAAUUAGAAGUAAUCAAGUUCGUCGACUUUUAGUUAAGAGGAAAGGGGGAAAAAAGAAUUUGUCCUUUAGCCAAAAUGAUAGAUUUUAACUCUUAGAACUCCCAACAAUAUUUGAUUAUUUUUAGUCCUCCUGUUUUUAAUUUUAAUUUUUUUUUUAAAAAUCUGUGUAGCAACUCUAUCCUUUAAAGCACAGCAAAUAUAUACACCUUUUUUUUUUCAGGACAACCUCAGCUAGAGUUUAUGGGUGCGAUAAUUAUGUAAAAUGAAUGUGACAGUAGAUUCAGAACCAUUAAAGUCAACCAAAAAACAAAAAUGGAAAUUGAUACCAACAGGACUUUGUUAAAAAAACACAUAAAACUACAAUGACCAAGCCUUUUCUCACCUGCACAUCAUUCUGUUAAGUCUUGGCUAUCAGGAGAAGAAAUAUUGGGAUUGGAACAAACACACAACAGAAACUAUUUACAUAUUUACACUGAUUCUUCCAGUUGUUUAUGCCACUCCUUGAAGCAGUUCCUGUCUGGGAUGAGACAGAGGGCCACAUCAUACUGCUCAUAAUCUCUUCUUUGCUUGUUUCCAAGCAUUGAGGACCAUUGUUUCUUAUUGUGCAGACAAGCAGGGAACUUUCUUGUCUCUUGUUGAUGUUUGGUUGCCUCUUGUUGGACACAACCAUCAAGGGAACAAUAGAAGAAGAAUAUGAGCCCAUGUAAUUGGUCAAAAGUUCGGCAGAAAAAGACAUCAUCAAAACAGUUUGUCAAACCAUUGAAGACAUUAGCAGCAUUUAGCGAUAGCGAUCUUAUUCUAUCACAACAAUAUGAUAAAUAAUCAUGUUUUCACCGGUAUUUCACUGCGGAUUUACCAUCAAACGUCUUUGAUCAAACACCUAUUUUUGUGGCUGGAAUGUAAACCUUGUGGCAGGUGUAGAAAUGUCUGGAAACCCUCGAUAGAUCGCCAAAAGGGUAAGCUUUUGAACACUUUUCAACCCUUAGAGAUACACGAUAUAGUUCCUGAGAAACUGUAAAAAAAUUAAUGGUGUCACAUGGGAUCACCUGCGAUCCAGCGGAGUUCUUAAGAGUUAACUUUUUUUUUUAGAUUUUCAAAUAUCUUAAGCUGAUCCUUCUUUUUUUGUGUAGAAAAGUUUGUGUAUUUGAAGAUGAAGCACACCUCACACAGUACAUGUGGUGUGCAGUUGCUAUGAAAACUCAAUGAUGAUGAAAGUCUGUGAUGGUCAAUAUCAAAUGGUGGCCAUUUUCACUUUUAGCCUAUCAACCAUCUGAGCCAUUACAGUCCGAAUAGCCAUUACUGACCAUGAGCUCCAUAAUAGAGACGAUAAUUCUGCCGUCCAGCUCUCUAUCCAAGCUGUUCAUGCCACAGGAUUUCAAUUGCCCUGCUUCACUGGGAGGCCAAACAGCACUAUCGCUCAAUUAUACUCUCCCCCAAAACAGAGAAUUCUGUGAUCUCAUUUGCAUUCGGCUGACAAAGGAGAUGAUCUGACAGGGGAGGUUUUGAUCAAAGUCAGCUUGGCCAUUUGUUUUUUGUUUUUUAUACAACCAGCAUAUCUUUUUACGCCUUUGUAACAGAUUGCUCCUGUGUUUUUCUGGUCGUAUAAUCUCACUUAUCCUGUCCAAAACUAAAGUGGAAUAUCUGCAGAUCCUCUUUAAGUUAAAGGUAAUUAAGUGCUAUUUCAGUCCUAUCUUGUAUCCUAGCCGUGCCAGAGAUGCAAUCCAUCCCCGACAGCAUUGCCGUAGCCUUAUCUGCCUUAAGAUGAAGUGUCAGAUGAUCCUUUUGUAGAGCUGGGGGUAAAAAAAUGAACUCCAGGCUCUUAUUCUAAAGACUCUGGCUGGCAGCAGUUUUUAACUCCUGGCACAUUUCAACUAAUAACCACUUCACCUCGGGGUGCUCGGGGGCGGGCGAGCUUAAAAGAGGAAAGAGAAAAACAAUCAUAAAGGAAGAAAAAAAAAAAGAAAAGAAAAAAAAUCCCUCACCUCCCGCCCGCUCAUCACAGGAAGUGCAGCCUCAGCAGCCGCCUAUGCAAAAGCACACUGAUGAUUAUGCAGAGACCAAAGAACGCUCGGAGCGCAAACAGCUGGCCCGGUCUCACCGCGGAUCAUGGCGAGUCUUCUGAUCUUCCUAAUAUAUUCCGUAAUUACUGAUAUGUGUCGACAGAGUGUGUGUUGGUGGUGCUUAAUGUGGCAGCAAAUUAAUUCCAAAUCUGGCCUCGUGUGCACCGGCGUUCACACCCUUCUGAUCUGAAUUAUUUUGAAAGGAUCUAUACGUUAGGAGGAAAAAAGAGAGAUUAAAAAAAACGCACAUUCAAUUUGCGCGGUGCUUUAACAAUUGUUCAUGCUUUGACAAACUUAACAUGAAAAGACGAAGGAGAAUGGAAAACGGACCUGCGGGUUCUGGGUGGACAAAAACCAAAAGAGGCAUCUUUAGUGGGAAAACGCAGUGCGGAUAAUUUGCAGAGAUUGCGCCCGGGUUUAAAUCCUUAAUUAGCGCUUCAAACGCUGACCUCUUUCUCUUUCUCUACCUGGAAAGCAACACUUUCACCAGAGCUAAGCAUAAUCACGCUGCCCUCUGGCUUCCUAUGAGUAAUUCACUCCUCCCCUCUAAUCACACUGUGCAAAGUUCACCCACUGUAACACCUCUCUCAUAGUCAACAGCAGAUGUUGAGGUUUUGGGCAUAGGUAAUAGCACCCUCUGGUUAAUGUCAUUUCCAUCUACUUCUUCACCCUCCCACAUCUUUAGACGCUUUGCCAGUCUUUGAAAAGAAGUCCAAUUAUGUGACGAAUACCACCUGUCGUCACUGAGUGUUUUUAAAGGAUUCAGUUUUCUGAAGUGCUGGCCAACCACAGGUUCAAUCAAAUGAGAAGUUGUGCAAGGUGACAAGUCUGACCUCAGUCAACAUUAGUAACUUUUGCUUUUAUAAGUGAGGUUCAGCUUGGCUUGUACUCUUUGAAGUUCAACCCAGCAAUUAAUAUUGGUGUCCUAGUGUGCGAUUUAUAAAUCAAAUGCAAUUUACUUUUACCGCAAUGCCGCGUCCUCUUAUUCAAUGAAAAGAAAGAAGAAAACUGUCUUAUGGUCUGACUUUUCAACAUUUGACUGUCUUUUUGGAAAUCAUGGACGCCUCAUCCUUCAUGAAUGGAAAGUAGAAAACUUUCCUGUGGUGUGACCACGAUGUCGGAGGCGAAUGAACUCCUCUAAUUUCAAGGGUAGCUGACUGAGAUAAACUGCAUGUGACUCUGCAUGUGCUGUGCAGCGAUCCACCAAUCACAUUCGCUCUUUACUCAGUUGCCAAUUAGAUUACCCUUCCAGCUGUCAAGCAAAACCAGAGAGGGGAAACCACGCCCCUUCACAUGGCCUGCACAUGGAGUGAGUCGCUGGCGCUGCCGGUGUUGUGCUGAUAGACGUAUGCUCACUGAGAAUUACUUUCGGACAAAUAAGAACUGUAUGGGUUUUAAAUCGUACAUUUCUGUGGACCAAUCUACUCGGCACAACACCAGGAACAACAGCAACGAUUGCAAAAAGAUCAACGAACAAAAGAAAACCACAGACUUGUUGCUGAAAAUAAAAGGAAAGUCAGUUAUCUGGAAUUAUUUCAGUUACAAAAAGAAUGAUGUCGACUAAACACCUGUUCUGUGUCGGCAGUGCCUUUCAUCUGUCACCACAAUAACGUCCCAGCACAAUAAAAGCAAGCUUAAAAUAUCUCUAAGACAGACAAAAAUCAUUCUACUAACUCAUUCACAAAAUUUACAAAAAGAGGUGAGAUCAGUGCAGGUUAAUUAUCCACAAGAUUUCAGCAAUGCAGCAGCAUAAAGUGCUAUUCAGGUCAUCUGGUGAAAAUUCCUGUUUUUUAAUAUCGCAAUGUGGAAUUUGUGGAAAUCAUGGAUGCUUUAUCCUCCAUUUCAAAGAAAGUAGAAAACUGUCCUGUAGUGAAUACUUUAAAAAUUGAUUCUUUUUUGGAAAUCAUGUACGUCACAUCCUUAUUUAUCAAUGAAAGACACAGAAACUGUCCUGUAAUCUGCCUUAUCAAUAUCUGACAGUCCUUUUGGAAAUCAUGGAUGCCUCAUCCUUCAUUUCAAAAGGAAAUGAAGCUUGUUUGUUAUUCAGCCUCUGAUUUGGUCAUGGAUCUUCUCACCUCAGCUUUACAGCGUUUGAGUACACCGCACAGCAUUUAUUCAAACGUACAGAAUAAUCAAACAAAACUCUGUAGUCAUUUCAACCUUGUAAACAAAUUGAAUGGAGAGAUACUCAGUAUUUACUCAUCGAUUUGAAAUGGAUGGGGCUCAGCCGGGAAAAACACGAUGCUUUAUUCUGAGCACGAGGCUUUAUCAAUAUUUGAAUCAACAUACGAUAACAGUUGUGGCGUCGCAGCCAAAGCCGGUCUGAAAAUGUGAUCAAAGCACACCCACACAGCCCUGACGAGCUGAGAUCUUCAGAAUAGGAGCGUUCAUAGAUAUUUCAUCUCACAACAUUUUUAGUAUUCAUAACUAUAAGAGUACUUGUAAAUAUUCAUAUAAUAAAGAUAUGCAAAAAUCAAUAGUGUGUUAAACAUGAUUUUUAAUCAUGUUUUCAGGGUGCAAACUACCCACAUAUGAGCUUUUGUUUACAUCACAAGAGGAACAACAAAUGUUUGUUUGGUGCGAGUUUUAUUUCCACAUGAUUUCACAAAAACAGCCACCUGAGAAGAGACAUUUUAUGUAUGUGAAUACGUUCUGAAGCUUACACAAUAACACACCGACAACAAUAUGCAAAUUUAGACAUCAGAUGCUCUCGUGUGUUAAAAACAGCGAAUCUAUUCUGGUGGUUUUUGCACCUGAGCAUUAUAAGGUGCUCUGAAUCUACCUGGAGGCACACUGACUGCAUUUCCAGUGCAAAACAAAAAAAAAAAACAGGUUAUUUAUUCCACCUGAAUCCUUAUCAUGUGUGCAUCCUUCAAGGUCUGUGAGCAAUUAUACUCUGUGUGCAUGGAGACGCAUUGUGUGAUGAGCUUUGAUGGUCGCCGUCUCUUUCGAUAAAUGCAGCAGACCUUUUCUUUAUUGAGCUGAGAUUCAUACUUUACCCCCCCACCCUCUGGCACAUAACUGUAAAGCUAAUGGAGCCGUUCAAGGUAAAGAAAACAGUGUGUACAUCCAAUUUGCUUGUAAAAAAUAUACAAGAUAUGAAGCUGCUUCUGACUAAACGUGUUAGUAUUUUUUCAAAUCUUAACUCAUUUUCACACAUUUAUAACCAUUUGGCGCCAAAAUAGGUCUCAUUACAGAAACGUAAGCAGAGGAAGGUUACAGGUCGGCCUUCAUCAGACAAUAUUUGAUCUUUUUCUUGUACUUUCAACUCUAUGCUUCUGAGUGCAAGCAUUUGGUGUGUGAAUGAAAAAAAAAGCACAAAAACAUUGCUUGUUAUUUUCGGAAAGUAUAAUUUUACACCAACUGUGCAGAGUGAUUGUAAUCCAAACCCACUAAUUUGCAUCUAUUUUUUCUCCCUGGCACCCACUUGCCCCAUACGUUUGUCCAUUUCCAGCACACUGUGUGAUUAAAGCUGAUUUAAUUAUUGGGUUAAAGCUCCUGUGAUGAGUUUUAGGCUGGAACUGUGGAACGAAUUACCACUGAGAUUAAAACAUCCCCCACUCUUUCUACUUUAAAAUCAUGUCUCAAUUCUCAUUUGUAUUCCUUGGCUUUUAGCUCAGCAUGAGAUUUGUGUGAUCUCUGUCCUUUUAUGCCUUUUAUGGUCAUUUUUAUCACUUUUAUUUCUUCGAUGUGUUGGCGUUUUUAUUUCAUUUAUAUUAUUUCAUUUUAAAUCUUUUUUCCUGCUUUUACUUAUUUCCUCUUGAUGUUUUCUGCAGUGUCUGUUCUUUUAAUUUUACUGUACUGCACCUUGGUAAACUUGAAUGUUUUUUAAAAUAUGCUAUAUAAAUAAAGCAAAUUGGAUUGGAGUGGAUUGGAAUUGUACAAAUGUCUCCUUAAAGGGAUAUUCCGGUGUAGAAUUAAUUUAGGGUAAAAAAAAAAAAACACCGUAACACCGAGUUGGACACGCCCUCGAGAGAUGAAUGUUGUCGACCACUUGAUUCUCUAGUUAUACCAACUUUAGUGACGACCGCACGAUAGCAAUACACAGUGGUCUGCGGAGCCAUAAACAAACCUCAACCAAAGCGCCACUCUAUAGCCACAAAUAAUGCUCAGAACAGCAACUUCAUCAACAGUACAUAUAGGGUCCCAGCCACAGCACUAGCCACCAAACAUCUUUUUAAUUUUGCCUAAUUUCUUUAGCAAAGAGAAUAAACACAACUCACCUACUCUCUUCCAGCAGCCGCUUGUUUCUAGUGAGACCUCAGGCCAGUCCAUUACAGACUACAGUGGGGUGACACAGCUCAAGGAAGAACAUUUGUAAUAACUUCUUUAUCAUUUCCUUGAAGUAAUAGUCAUCAUAUUAAUCAUUUUGCACUGCAGUCGCGGUAGUUCUUCUGCCUUAGCGUCUCUGUCUGAUUGUAUUUCCAUGAAGAAAUUAUCAUAAAUGUUCUUCCUUGAGCUGCCGCUGUGUAUUACUAAUGUGCGGUCAUGACUAAAGUUGGUAUAGCUAAAGAAGCAAGCGGUCAGCAACAGUCAUCUCUUGAGGGGGUGUUUAUUUCAGUGUUAUAGCGUGUUUGACCCUAAAUUAAUGUUACACCGGAAUAUCCCUUUUAAGUGUUAAAAAUGCAUAGAAGAUCAAUAUCAACAAGAGUGAAUAUUUCUGUAAAGUUUGAAUGUCUAAAACCAGUGGUGGGUGGUCGGUGUCAGAGAUGCAGGGGAGCAAAAUACAAAGAAAAAGAAAAAAACAUGUUUAGAGGACAAAAACAAUGGUGAGAGCUUUGUUCAUGGGCGGCACAAAAACAGACCAAAAGUUCCUUACAGGAGCUUUAAUAUCCUUUGAGUUUGGACACAAUUUCAGUUGUAUUUUUAGGUUUUUAAAUCGCAAAUCUGUCUAAGCUUGUCAAACAAAUAUCUCAUCCUUUCUUUCCUUGGUCCUUGACAUUGAAACUACGUGUUCAGGAACAGGCUUAUGAGGAUAGGGAUGCUGCAUUUGCUUAGGUGACUUUGGUUUGAAAUCCUGGUAGCUGUUGCCCCUCAGCUAUAAUUCGCCCUUCGCUCAAUGUCAUCAAUCAAAAACGGCAGAAAUGAUUCCCAUCAAGUUCGCAAAAUAGGCCACAGCCGAGAGGAAGGGAAACUAGAUGGGAGGAGAAAAGAAAGAACAGCUUUCUUAUUGAUCCUGAACCGACUGCUGCACAAAAAACCAACGACAGAAACACAGCGGAGGGAGCUCAGACCAACAGGCAGCCGUAGAAAAUUUAAUUAUUGUUAUAUUUACCCAUGUGGAGAUCUUUAGAGAUAACUUGUUGCCAAUUUGCUCCUUCUUUUUUACUGCUAAUGUGCGCUUUUAUAGGACUGCCUUUUAAGUGUCUCAUUGCCUUUUUGCUUUGUAAUCUUGUUUUAUAGAGAGGAAAUAGCCGGUGAAUUAUUUUAUGACCUGUUACUUAAAGAUAAAGACAAGGAAAUUUAAAAUAAAAGGAGGGGGGGGAGAAAAAACAAGUUAACUUUUCUAUUUUCUCCCUUUUUUUUAUCACUUUUAAAUUACAAAGAGAAAACAACCACAAGGUUUGAACUUUUAUAUCCUGUGCGCGCAGCUCUCCGCAUGCAUAUUUUAUCAGCCUAACUUCCGCUGCUUGUAACGCAUCACUUAGACAUCCACUCAAGGAUUUUGUAAGCAUUUGCAACAUGUUUUAAAAACUUGCAAAAAAAAAGACAGAUUUCUUCCCGGCAAGAUUUAAUGUUUCGGAGUCUUUCUUGAACUUCUACUCACGAGAGGAUUGUUUUGGAGAAGAGCCUAGUUUUGCUCUGUGCAUGUAUUUAUCAAGAAUCCCUUGCGGCAAAUUUUGGUACCACUUCUGGUGGAGAAAUAUUCCCACUUUUUUUGAAGGUAAAAAACAUGAUUCUGUUAAAGUCUUUAAGCUCAACAGCUCAACAAACCACUCAGCUCUGCUUACUGCGUCUCCAUUUCUUGUAUCAGCUGAGAAAUAACUGAAACAAUGACCAGAAGGUGAUGGUAGAGCAUGAGGCUCUCUUCUGAGCAUGAUCAAAGCAGCUAUCUUAGUUUAUUUGUUGAAGCGGUGAACAUAGAUGUAUUUUUAGAGCUUACUCCAACAGGGCUUGAAACGCCGUCCUCUUUCGCAUUUUUGACUUUUCUUUUCAGAUCCAUCAGAGUCAAAUUCAGGUUCAUUUCCAAGCUUACUUCCAAUGUCCAGGAAUCGAAGGCUUGACCACAAUCCUACUUUACCUCAUAUUCAUUCUUUUGUUAAUAUUUCAACCCUUGAUAGGUACUUCUCUUCAUAUUUUUGCUUUUACUUUAUCUGCUGUACAGAGAGCUAGACCUGUUUGUAUAUUUACUUUCAGUGCACACACAGACAGGCGGUGGAGCAUGAGGUGAUAUUUACUGAAUUUGACAAAAAGUAUAUUGGAUAAGGGUUACAUAAGCCACCUUUAACCCGCCGAAUCACUCCCAUUUGGCUGAUAUUUAAGAGGGUUUGGAUCUUUCAGGAGAUGCUGUCAGUCAGGAAACACACAACAAGAUUUCGAGACCUCUUCAGUCAUAUUCGACCGAGAGAUUUUAUAAGAUUUCAAAAGGUCCUAUGAGUCUACAGAGCUUCUGUUUAGACUGGAUGGGUUGAGGUCCUAGAUCUGGACAAGCAGAAUGGUGGUUUAGGAAGAGGGAGGUACAGGUAAGCAGAUUUGAUUUGCAGCAAGGUGUGUUUUAAAGCUCUGGGUAUUGGGUUCCUUUAGUUCAGUUGGCUGACCAAUGGAGUACAGUCAUAUCAUAGUCAGAAAACAAGUGUAGUGGUCGUUUUGGUGCUGUGGGCAGGUGCUAGAGAAGAAGCCAAGAGUCUUCCCCACUGAGCGAGACCAAGAGAUACAUAGCAUUUAUUCUCUUUGAGGAAUAAUUUAGUCAUAUUGGAAAUGGGAUGUUCAAACAAUUCGAGAUUUCUUACAGGCUGUCUGCCAUGAUUGUCAAAAUCCCCUCCAAAAAUCACAUGUAAACAAGGUUCCAAAUAAGAUUUCUUUCUGCUUUUGUUGCUUUUUAAAAUGGAAGAGAAAAUCCACAAACAAAGAUACGAAGAGAGGAUUUAGAACCAGAGGAAAAUAGAGGAUGUGUUGAAGUUUUUCCCUCUUAUGUCCGUCCAGGCCCUCGGUAGAAACAUCAGUCGUAAAAUAAGUUCCAGUCGCUGCUCCAGCCGUUAUCUUUCUUUGCUUUUUAUGGGUCCGAGUGCAGUUCUGCUUUGGUCAGGUGAUAACAGGCCAGGCUGGGGAGAGGAUACAUCUGUCUGGCGUUUGGCAAAGUGGGCCUGACUGUGAAACAUUGAGUCAGCUAAAAGGUUUAAGCUCCGUCAGCACCCUGUGGUGCCUUUACAGUUUAAUACAGAGAGGCCAGACAGGCUGACAGAGAGGUUGGAGGCUCAAGGAGCAACAUUACGUAACACACAUGCACUCAGGCACAUACAUCCACAGAUGCAUUAGCAACUCUGAGUUAAGUGUAAUGCAUUGAACCUUCAUUUAAUCACAGCAAUUGAAUUCAAUUCAUUAAAGCAAGGCAGUAAAAUAGAAGAGCUCAGCAAAGCUUUAGACGAGGGAUCCAUGACUUAGAUUUUCACAUUUUUUAUUCUUCGUUUUGCGGCUGCAGGCAGGCUGUUUUGGAAACUGUCCUUGUUGGUGUGUUGAAAGACUUGCCAACAUCUGAGAUUUUGCCUUCAGCUGCUGGGAACAAAGAUUUCCAUUUACUGUCUCCGCCAUAUUAUGGUGCCCACACACUGCUAAACACAGUCAAAUCAACAGAUGAAAGUCAAAAAGUCUGGAAACUUCUAUCGGCUUUUGUUUUCGGAGGUGAUGUAUUCAGGCUCUGAAACACUCCUUUAUUUCACUGCCAGAAAGAACCGAAGAGGCUUUGAAGGGGAGAAAUAAACACUCUUUUUUUACAUGACAAAUACAACCAAAUACUUCAACCCCAAUUACCCCCCCAAUAUGAGACGUUGAUAAAGGCAGAUUGUGAAGAAUUGCCAAUCACUCAAAACCCUUUUUUAUUUAAUCGCAGAUGAUCCAAAAAAAACAAAUCAAUUGUUGAAACUAAGAGUUUAUUUUCUGAUGCUUUUCAAGACCAUUAUGUUGAAAACCCUCUGCAGACAUUAGGGAACCAAUGACGCAGGUUUCUAAAGUUUUGAAAGUAAAAAUCGGCCCCAGUGUUGCCUGUGUUAACAUGUUAAUAUGGUCUGGUAUUGUCUCCCUUGAAACCACAAAAUGCUGAUCAUAAAUACUAGGGAUGGGAGUCACUAGUGGCCCCACAAUACGAUAUUAUCCUGAUACUUUAUUGUUCCGAUUUUUAACAUUUUGCAAUACAGUGAGUAUUGCAAUACAAUAUAAAAUGAUUUAUACUUUUUUUUCACUUAUUUCACUUAUUUACACUGUAUUUUAUUUCCAUGUAGCACAUCUUGUGAACUUGUAUAUAUUUCUUGUACUAACUAGGAGUGUCAACAUCUUCACGUGUAAAUGGAUACAUGGAUAACAAAUCAUUACCGUUUAGAAAAAUCAAUAGUCGUUUACACAUCUUUUUAUUCUUCUUCUCCUUGAUCAUUUCUCACCAAUAUAUUCACCAAUUCACCAUCCAAUAGAAAUGGUGAAUUGGUGAAUAUAUUUCAACAACACUGCCUGUGGAAAUCAAGUUGAGUGUAGGCUAUGUCAGGCAAAGUUGUCUUCCAACAACAGAACGGGGUCCAUGCGAAACCACCUGCGAUGGUAACACCCGAACAAGUUGGAGAAGGAGACUGCUGAGGGAUUAUACAUACAACAAGGCGAAGAAAUGUGACAAGGCACGGAGUGAACAUAUCAGCAACUUAACAGCUGAAAUGGUGGCCCUCGACGUGCAUACCUGUGUCAAUGGUUGAGGAUGACGGAAUGAAAUACCUGGAGCCAGGCCGUGAAAUUUCCCGCAGAGCGACAGUUUGCUCACGGAUAUCAAAGUACGUUAUCUUGUCUGUCCAAAUGAUAGAUGAUUUUAUUUUCAACUCACAUUACUUUCUGUCAUUAGUAGGCCUUGGAUUGUUAAAUGAAGUUCUGUGAUUAAUCUGUUAAAUUGGCUAUAAUUUAGUACCUUUUUGAAGUGGGUCUACAAGAAUACUUUUUUGUCUGAUUACCACUGGAAUGGUUUGAUUUAAUGGGAUUAGGAGUUGCUUGAAUGGAGACAGAACCUUCUAGUGGUUCUAUAGCUCAACUGCCAAAGAAAGAGAUCUCCGACAUGUCACCGACAAGCCCUGUUUACACGUGUAGAAAAAAUUGCAAACGUUGACACCCUUCGUUCUAACUUUCUCCUGCUCUAUGAUGUCACCUUCAUAUUAACAAUUAAUUUGAAAAAUCAAUACUCGGUAAAUGAGACGAUACGAUAUAUCACCAGACAAAAUAUCGCGAUACUGUGCUGUAUCGAUGUUUUUCUCCCACCCCUAAUAAAUACCCAUAAAGCACAUGGACUCUCUUUCUAAAUGUCUCUUCUUGAAGCCCGUGUCUUGGAAGUUUGAUAAAAGGUUCAAAUAAGCCGUACAAAUAUGACACAGUGCCUCUCCAAACCCCAGCACGUGUACUUACAGUCACACACGAGGCGAUACCCCAGAUUCCGACUACCAUAUGUCAUCUUGAAUCUGCGAGGAGCUUGCUGCCGGCGGCACACUCUCAAUAACAAGCCACAGGCUCUCUGUAUGAGGUAUCCUCCUCUCAUCCUUUUGUAUUCUGUCGACUUGUGUGCUUACUCAUGCCCUGUAUCUUCAGUCAAGCUUGUGUUUAGUGUUCAGCUGGAGAAACGAGGAGGGACUCAAAUGACUCAGGCAGCUGGUGCAGUUAUUGUCAUGGAGCCACGAUGGCGUGAGCUAAAUCUCAGUUCAUUUGGUUAAUUUUAUGUUGUUGCGACUCAUAUUGUCUGUCGGCUGCUGUGAUGUGUGCUCACAUUUGUGCAAACGGGGCGUGGAGAAAUCCACUUGAGGCACUGGUUUAUCGGCUUUGCCUGUCUGUGAUUGUGAUUGCUAAUGGAUUUUCCACAGGUCUGGUAACUAUCAAACAGGCCAAGUGUAUUAAUGAAGUGCGGCAAGUGAGCUCAUACCACCACUCCGAAGUGCUUCCGCUGGGUGUAACUCAAAACUGCACGUGACCCGACCUCUGAUUAGCUUUGAAGAAUACAAGCGCAUCAACGAAAACAUUGCCAAACUUUACAAAUUGAAUCUGCAUCUCCUAAAACUAAAAGUGGCAUCAAAACAUCAGGCGUGCUUUAUGUUUCGAGGAUGCUGCGAGGCACUGCAAGUGACAGGGACAUGAGAAAUUACUUGGGGACUAAAGUUGGAUGCAUCUUUGUUAUGCAAUGCUAGUGAGUCAAGCCCCAUAGAGUGGAUCCACUAAAGGGAUAGUGCAAAUAAAACCUGGUGCAUUGGUUGAUAAGGGGAUAAUUGGUGGAGCGGCGUCAGCAGUGAUGCGGACGCUUAACCGAUCAGUCGUGGUGAAGAAAUAGCUGAGCCGUAACGCGAAACUCUCGAUUUACCGGUCAAUCUACAUGCCAUUCCUCACCUAUGGCCGUGAACUUUGGGUAAUGACCAAAAGAACAAGACUGUGGAUACAAGCGGCCGAAAUGGGUUUCCUUCCCAGGGUGGCCGGGUUUAGCCUUAGAGAUAGGGUAAGGAGCUCGGACACUCGGGAGGCGCUCAGAGUAGAACCGCUGCUCCUCCUCGUCGAGAGGUGUCAGCUGAGGUGGCUCAGGCAUCUGGUUAGGAUGCCUUCUGGACGCCUCCCAUUAGAGGUGUUCCAGACACGUCCCACUGGGAGGAGACCUCGUGGCUGGCCCAGGACCAGGUGGAGGGAUUAUAUCUCUCGUCUGGCCUGGGAGCGCCUGGGAAUCCCCCCGGAGGAGGCUGGGGUGAGGGCCGUCUGGGCUUCCCUCCGACGGCAACUAGGGCUGGAUGAUUAUGACAGAAAUAAUAAUCACGAUUGUUUUGACUGAUUAUUAAUUGAUUUCAGAACCUGAUAAUUUAUUUAACCACCAAAACUUAACUUGCCCAGAAAAUUAGUAACAGGUAAAAAGUAAAAAAAUAAAAAAUAAUCAGCUCUGUGAUUGCCGACAAUAACUUGCUAAUGCUAAUACUCGGCGUGCAUGUGCUCUACGGUGCAGCACCCAUGUGUGUGCACAUUUACUGACACAUAUGAGUACAAAAACAACAACUAAUUUUUAACAUGUGGCAACUUUUAUUUAGCCUUGGCGGUGCGCUGCGAUCGAUUGCAUAUAGAGGAAACCCUGACGUUGGUUGGGUUGCCUUGGAGAGCAGACAGGACAACGUAACAAACUUUGCAAACAGUUUUCUUUUGCUUGACCUCCGUCAAAUUGAAGCCAAAAUGUUUCCUAAAAGUUUGUUUCCAAAAAGUUGUCCUACCUUUCUUCUCAACCAAAUCCUGCCUUUCUGCCAUGUUUUCAAUUGCUCACUUCUUGCACGUAACAGGGGUGCAUUAUAAUGAUUAUAAUGUUUUUUUACGAAAUCAUAUUAAAAUCCAAUUAAUCGUCCAGCACUCCCUAAAAAAUGAGGUAAAAUCAUAAAAAUAUGUUGGCAAUUGAGGCUCAUUAUGAUCCAUCCAUUAAUAUUUAAGACAAUUCACAUCCCUUUAUUUAUCCACACACUAAAACACACACAUCAAUGUACCUUGCUUCUCUUCCCUGUUGUCUCUAAUGCUGCAAAUCAUCCAUCUCCUCUCCCAUUCGGAGUGACUAUGCCCUGCCAUUAAGCAUCAGAGUGUUGCACAUUACAUAUGAGGGAGUGCAAAUAACCAGUUUUGAAAUGGCAGCAUGUAAGAGCCUUACAACUCUCUCCCCGCAGCCUCAGUGAAAGCCCAGAAAUCUAACCUUGGGUAUAAAUUAAAGUAAAUAUCAGCACAAACUCUCCUUGUGAAGAAGAGUGUACUUCAUAAAUGUUUAUACUUCCAUGAAAUCACUUGGAAAGACUCAUAUCCUGCAGGGAUUCGAACGAGAAAUAUAGAUUUCUAAUGCCGCAGAUGUGUCUCUUUUCAGUGUCGUCCCCAUCUGAACUGCUGUCUCACAGUUGCAUAUAGUCAUUCUGUGCUUAGAGGAUCCAUCCCCAUCGAGGCCAAGCUUUUUGUGGCACUGAAGGGAGUAUUACAGUCUUUAAGUGGCCUUUUAAAAGGUUACUAAAUGCGUGUCAGUCCCCACAGGUUUGUGUGAAUGCAGUUACAACAGGCCAAGGGCGCCGGUUUAUUUUGGCUGUCAAGAUGUUUAAGUAGGUCUCAGUGAAAGGUUAAAGCCAGCAGGUCAAGACACACAGGCUGAUGGAUGUUAGCUGCCUGCAAAAGGAAGAUGCCAAACAAGCAAUAGGAAACACAUGGAUGGAUUCAAUGUAUCUGGAGGUCAUAGUCGUAAAUCUUAUCAUUUCAGAAACAAGGAGGGGGGUACAGGGAGCUGGUCGAAACUGGCUCAGGAUGUAAGGUCAGUGCUGGAAAGUUAUACCUCUUAAUAUCAGCAUGAAACCACCCAAAUUCUAAAGAAAUGCUUUAAAAAGGUUUAACAUGUCAGUUAAAAUCAGAGAAUCUCCACAAACUAAUACUAGAUAGAGGCAGUACUGCAAAAAAGCAGACAUGACUCUGUCGUGGAAAUUUCCGCAUUAAAGGUGGGGUAGGCAGAAAUCUGUUAAAGAAGCAUCUUUUUUUGUGGUGUAUAUACAAAAAAGCUUUUUAUAUCAGUCAAAAGCUUUUAGUCAAUGAUGACAUUUGAGAAUAUAAAGAUAUCGCUGUGUUUUGUUAUGUCUGUGUAGUCAACAUUUAAAAUUUUUUUAAAGGGCCCGCUCUUUCUGACUGUAAACAAAGCCAUUCUCCAUCUCCCCCAACCUGAUUGGUUGUGAAGUGGACGCUGGUCCUUAGUGCCCAUUGGUUUUGAGGCACAAUCCACAUCCUCGAAUAAUGAAACAAAGUUAGCGUGCUACAAUAUCGGACAGUAAAAAACCAACCAGAAAGUACGGAAAAUUGUCUGAAUCCUCUUUUGGCCACGACUGCCAACACAAGCAAGAAAAUGAAGUAAAUACAGGAGACUCUGGCGGAGUAACAGGCGCUUAAAAAGCCGGGCAAGAGCUUAAAAGCCGGGUAAACAUCAGCAUAAACGAUGGGGAAGGCUUCGAGAUCUUACUGACCCUGUAACCUUUCUGCUGGACAGGUAAACCGCUUUAACAAAGUAAGCUAAGUGUCUGUAACAGAAGUCUUUCUUGUCAAAGGGGACUUGCUGCGUGUUGUAGUGCCGCUAAACUGUUGACCUCGGGUCCUGGACUAUGUCACUUUAUCCUAGUUGUAGAAGUCCUGCAACCAUUGUGUUUGCUGGUAGUCCGUUGACAUCCACAGUGGCACCAAUGCUUUUUACUUUCACGUUGACUGGGCCCCAUUUGUAAGUAUUUAUCUGCAUUAUAUCUGAAUUUGAUUGGAACGAUACAGCCUUGCAGUUGUUUUUUCAAACAUUGCAAGUUGGGUAAGUCAAAUCAGCAGGAACAAAGCUCGGUUAGUACAAGUAAUGGAAGUACAUAAAGUCCAACAAACUAAAAAGGAAAUGCAAAAAGGUCUUGAUUCUCAAACACUGGUUCUGUUUUAGACUCAAAAAGCGAUUAGCUGUCCCAGUAUUCAAACCAAAAUCGUCAGAAAGCAGCCAACUGCAAAUCUGCUUGAGCUGGCACCAAUUCCUCCAAACUUGAAACUGCAAAAGCUGCAAAACCAGGGCUGAAUUUGUUCAGUAAAGUACUGCACAUGCAGGAUUAGAGGAAAUUUGAUCCUUUUGAAGCAGCAAGGACCAGUGAGACGUGUCUCAGGGAAGGGUUAAUCUCAAAGAUGUCAAGUAUUAUGUAUUUUUUAAGCUCCAAUGACUGGUUUGAAAUUGGUUCAGUGGAAUGGCAAUCAUUCAAGGAUAUUUGGUGAUGUUGGGUUUAGUCCAAUGCCAGACUAAAUAUCUCCAAAAUGGUGUCUUUCUGAAUUUCAAUUAAAUGGGAAUCUGCUCAUUCUGGCGCUAAUGCCUUCCAAAUUGGAAAACUGCAGGGGGACGGUUUAAACCUGAGAUUCAACGUGGUCAGGAGAUUAAAUCUGGUUUAUCUGCAGGAUGAGAGGAAGCCCAUGUUUCCUGAUGUCUCAUACUGGAGAAUCUUUAACUGUUUGCUCUUUGGGAAGAAUCAAGAAGAAGACAUUUGGGAAUUCUGGGAAAGGCGAUGUUGAAAUAAUGUGUUGUACAGCCAGCAGCGAUCUCUCCCUGAUCAUACUACCUUUAAUGGAAUAACCCCAACAAUGAAUUGAGAAGACUGGGAAGCAUCAGCAAUGUUUGGUACAAAUCAGAGCCAUGGCAGUGAGUGUAAACACAACUCUGCCCAGGCAUUCUGGGACUUUAUUUUCCUAAAGUGAGGAAUCAGUUCCCACAAUCUGGUUAAAAUUAGUGCGAGGACAAAUAUCCACAGAGGUUUGGUACGAGUAGUUCUUGUCUAAUGUGAGUGCAGUCUGUAGAUUCAGACAAAACGGUGCAAUUCUGGAUGUUUUAUUACAGUAUGUCCUUGUAAAGUAGUCCCAGAUAGACUUGUGCGUUCAUGUUUCACUCAGUGUGAUUUCACGGCAAAAAAAAUAAGCGUGGCAAUCAGCAGAAUAAACCUUUCUCACAUCCUGUGUUACAAGUCGUGUACUAUUGUACUUGUGACAGGCACACAGCACAGGGUUUUUACUUUUCCUGCCCUCUUUCCUUGUUGGUAAUAUCAGACUGAAUUGAAUGUUCUGCCUUGCCAGUUCACACUCACACACUAGGAAAUAUGAUUUGCAUUCUCAUUUCACAGAUGAAACCACAGCUCAUGAAGAGAACAGACACAGACGGUGGAGGUUUUGAAGGUUCCCCGAGACUGGAGAGUCGUCACGGUGGAUUUGCUUCCCUUACUGUAAGUCCUCAAUAGCACCUAGGCAGGCAAGCUUAUUUGUAUCCAUCGCUUACAUACGCAGAAAUCCUCACAAGUCAUGAUGAAGCUACUUUUGAAAUCCAGGUGUCGCAGUAAAUCACUUUUCGCCACCCCGACAAUGAAAGAAACGCUCACCUGCUGUGAUCGGCUCAUUCUGAGGACAGAGAGUCUGAGAAGGAAAAUAGCUUUCUUGUCACGAAAAGAAAUAUAUUUGUCACUUGUGUUGCCAGACAUGUUGAGGACAUCACGGUCGUGUCUAAAUCCACAGCAGCGUGAGUGUGUGGGAUCAUGUUGGGACUCCAAGUGCUGAUUGGAAAACUCACACCAGACUGUGAGUGGUGAGGUAAGAAUAACACUCAGUCAGCGAAGACAAAGAGAUUUCCCUCUUAAUAACAGCUCGUGUUGUCUUCAGAGAAAAGCCACCGGGAUUAUUUUAACAUGUGAGACGUCUCAAGCAGUAGAUUAAGAGAGAAAACAGACGAAAGGUCAAGCACAUUAUUCUCUCACUAAUCUAAAAAAAAUGAUUCAAAUUUCUCUCCUUAAUUUGAAUAAUAUUACUUCAGCAGGAGGCUGUCAAACUGCAACAAAUUUCAUGACGUUCAUUAUUAAAAUUCAAAAGAUAUAAAAUCAUUCAAAAAUAGCACAGUUUGAACCCAAAUCCUUGGAUUAAAGACUUGAUGGAUAAAAUAAACCUAAGGUAUUGGACCUGUUCCGUUAAACCUGGGACCAAGGGCCUAAGAUGCAAAGUCUUAACCCAGGGUUCCUGCUGGGUCUUAAAAAGUCGUAAAACGUCUUAAAUCCAAUAAUUUGAAUUUAAGGCAUUAAAAUGUCUUAAAUUCUCUAAAAGUGUCAUAAAAUGUCUUAAAUAAAAAUUUUAGAAAUGUAUUGAUGUUACUUACAAAUCCAGACCGAUUUGAAGUUAUUUUAAAGUCCCAUUCUGAUUUUUUUUUUACUACUCAAAGUGUUCUCAGUGGUCUUUAAAUUGUGAUUAUGAAGUUUUUCACCAAAAACUGCAUUACCUGUGUUGUUUUCAAGGGCUUUUCUUCUGCAGAGCUCCAGUAGCUCAUUAGCAAUUCGCCUCUGAGUCGUGGGUAGAGACAGCGCUGCUCUGUACACUCUUCUUCACGUUAGCCUGUAGCCUAACAUUGCCAGUGUAGUAGAGGUGGCAGGUAACAUAGGUAUUAUUCAGCUCUCGGACACUAUUGUCUUUAGGGACACAGUGAAAGCUAAUAUCACAAUUAGCUUUCUUACAAGCUAACGCACACGCUUGUUCCACAGUCGUCCUCUCUAUUUCUCCAAGCCUGGCCUGCAUAGCAGGGCUCUGGGGGUGGAGCUUGGAUUGGUUACAUACGAAAUCUCACUCUGCCUGAGACUGCCAUUUGGGUCUGCCAGAGAUUCACAGUGAUUUAAAUGCAGAAAUACUCGGCAAUGCAAUUUUGCACUUCUUUUUCUCAUAAUAUGUCCUCUAGCAUCAGGAAAAUGCAAUAUGAACAUUUAGACAACAAGAAAAACAUAAUUUUCAUUGACGUGAGUCUUUAAAAGCUCUUAAAACGUCUAAAAUCCAACAUUCUAACAUCUAACAUUCUCUUAAAAUGUCAUAAAAUGUCUUAAAUACAAAUUUGAAAGGUCUUAAAAAUGUAUUAAUGUUACCUACAAAUAAAGAUUGAUUUAAGGUUAGUUUAAAAUGUUCAGAUUUCCCUUCAUGUCUUUUGUACUUUUUUGCCAGUAUUGAUGUCAAAUGGAUCUUAAACUUUAUUCUUAAAAAAGUCUUUAAAAAGUCUUAAAUUUGACUUGUUGACACCUGCAGAAACCCUGUAACCUGGUAUGAUAACAGCUUUGAAUCUGAACCAGAGUAAUGAUAAAAUCAAUGAAGGUUGUCAAAUUAUUCAUUUUAACCUGUUUUGAUCAGUUGCAUUAAUGGCUGGUACCAGUUCGAGAUUAAUCGAACUUUCUGCCUAUUGUAAAUGUACCUUUGAGGGAUAUUUUUUUCAUUUUUUAAAAUACUUUUAUCAACAUGGGAGUGGACAAAUGUACUGAAUAUAAGCUAAUGUGUAAAACAAUAGAGGAAAAAAAGACAAUUACCAUCCAUAUCGAGCCAAGUGGAAGCCAAAAGCGUUGUUUUUCACCGAGCCAAAUGAUCUGGUAAAAUUGAUCGCAGACAAUUGCAGAUUUACAGUAUUUAGUAUAUCUUUAAAAAUGAAAUCUUCAACUGGGUUUGAAACAUUGCAACCAUCUCUUUGAAAACAGAAGUCCAUCAGCUGUAAAUAUGUGUGACUUUAGUCUCAAGUGAAACCAUCUGGUAGGGCUUUGUGGAGGAAGGACUCGCCAUUCAAAAAGAAUAAACAUGUUAUGUUUCCAUAUUUUCUGAUCCUUUAUUCCCUCUUUGAAAGCCUCCCAGUGACCUUCAGCUCCAAUUCAUUAUUGUAGCUGUUUUUAUUUAUUGAAAGACUACCACUCACUUCAUGUGAAAGGUCAAAUACAGCGGUUACAUCUUUUGCUUGUAUUAUGUCUUACUUGUCUCUGAGUAAUUAGCAUGCCGAUUGUGCGAUUUGCAAAAGGGAGUGUUCGGGAGAGACGGUGCAGAAAGAAAACAAGCAGGGUACAAAGAGAGGAGGAGAAGAAGAAAAAAAAAGCUAAUAACAGCAUGUGUUGUAUCCCCCCAGCCGAUCUGUGGUGAGAGCUACACAGAAGCCACUGCUAAGCUCCCUGAGAAUGCCGCCAUCACCCACUGGGGAUGCGGAGUAAUUACAGAGAGCUUUGGUCCCUAUUUGCCGACAGUAAUAAGCCUGAAAGCCCAGCAGCUUACGCGUUAGAUAAUGAAGAUUCACUCAGUGUGGUUAAAGCUAGUUAUCUUUUAUGGUUUACAUGAUGAAUGCACUUUGAACGCAACGUCCUGACAGUACAGUCACCUUUUUCUGACCCUGGCCUUGUACUUUCAGAGAGCGUAUUCACUCGGCGCUGAAUCUAUGCAUCGUGCGGUUCAGGUUUGUCCAUCUGGCAGUGUCAGCAGUACACCUGGAAGUUAUAUAAAGUACUGAAGACGUAGAACAAUUCCUGCUUAGUAUGCAAGCAGUGGCAUCUGUAACUAUACAUACAUUCUUUUUUUCUAGUGUGGGAACAUUGUGAGCUUUACACUUUUCAAAAGGACAACUUGCUUGUCCUCAUUCCUACAAGACACGCGGUGCUAAUUAUGAAUUAGCAGUAAUUACAUCCCAUCUGUACAGCAUGAAACACAGACUGGAUAUGAUGUCUGACAAUGUCAAUUAAGUAUGGUUUAGAUAUGCAAAUACCCUGUCAGGGAGGGAGCGUCUUUACACUCUGUUAGAUAAGAAACGUCGUAUUCCUGAUGGUUUCUCUUAUAGUCUAUGAGUGUAAGUGUGUAAAGUAAAGCCUCAUCGACAUGUUCCUGCACUCUUUAAAGUUUCUGACUGUUGUAGGCACACUGUGACUUUGAGCUGACUUUCUGUGCCAUCCCCAUUAUAAAAAAAAAAAUGGAUGCAGUUAAUAGUCUGGGAGAGCCAGCGCAUAAUUGUGAGCAUGUUGGUGUCAUUGCUGAAGAAAACACUUUCAAGAACAUCACCCAGUUAAUUAGGUUGGUUUGCAACAGACAUGAUCGUGGGUUGGCAGGUUACAAAGAGAAAAGGAUUUGAUGUAGAAGCGCAUUGUGAAUCUGUAUGAAGAUUCAUAGAAAUCUGACAACUUUGGUAUAUCCGUGAGGGUGAAACGGAUACGAUCAUAAUAGCGUUUCAAGGCCUGGAAAGGAGCCUCCCCUGAGAAACAACAACAUGGAAAAGGGCAAAGGAUGGCCUUUUAAGGAGAUAGAAACCAGAGCGUUGACAAAUGUGAACUACUGCGCAGUUGAAACCCUUUAUGUGGGACAACAUGUCACUUUUGAAACCCUAGAAACUUAGCGUCCUGAUUUCCAAAUGUUACAGAAAAGAAAGACAGUGGUAAAUGUGUCUUUUUACUAAGGCUGUCAAAGUUAACGCGUUAUUGUCGCGUUAACUCGAGUGACUUUUAUCGCCACUAAUUUUUUUGACGCACGAUUAACGCAAGCCUUAGCCUGGCUUGACCAAACUAUACACACACUGCGUGGAUAUUCUUGCCGUUGUAAAAGGGUAGAGGAACAGUUGGUGAGCUAUGUGAGCCUCGGGGCACUCCGUAGUUUCGCGAAUCAGAAAGUAGAGCACUGACCGAUACCGCAGCAGACAUAAACAAAUUCACGUGAGCAGUAACUAGGAUAUAAUGGAUAAGAACACUAUUUUGAACGGAAAGUUCAGCUACAAAGCCUUGCCAGAUUGCUCUCUUGACAGGACAGUCAUUUGUGUUUCCUGUCGAGCUGAAUUUAGUUACCACCGGAGUACGUCUAGUACACAGCUGAUGCAGAGAGGGCCCCCCCCCCGCAUACGGAUCGCAUCCAAUGACUGGACAUAUGAAUUACCUUGUAGGACCACCAUUACCAUGAAAAUCCACGAUCUGUUCUCAUGUUGAUUCUUAUGUUGAUAAAAGUAUAACAAUUUGAAAAAGAUCGAUUUAGAAUGGAUCAAAAAUAUGCGAUCAAUUUGCGAUUAAUCAUGAUUAAUUAUGAUCACAAUUUGAUUAAUCGCGAUUAAAUAUUUUAAUCGAUUGACAGCCCUACUUUUUACACAUACUCAAAUUCUUGCAGUCAAAGCAGAUCCACAUAUAUAAUGCCACCUACAGUGUUAAGCAUAAAUGAGUACACUCCUUAGGUUGUCAGAAAACCUUCAGUUUCCUUUCAAAAUCAACAUUUUGUACAUCAGACUAUACAAAAAAAAUACUCCUCCAAAUGCAAGAUUUUUUAUACAAAAAAGUAUUUUUUCCGAUUUAAAAUCAGGGUGCAAAAAUAAGUGCACCCCAGUCAAAGUUUUCGAAGCAGAGCUAAAUUUUAGUUAUCAUAUCACCCUUAUUUUCAUCUUAUGGUAAAUAAAAUGUUAUGUUAAACUCAGCUUUGUCAAAACUUUGGAGAUUGUACUUUUGCUCAUCUAGACAUUGAGUUAUACGUUACUUUUAACCUAUUUAAACCGGGACAGCAUGUACGCAUUUCAACCUACCAAGCCGGGAGCGCGACUGCACAGUGUGGAUAUGUCAUUCUGUAACAUUCUGUAGUUUUUCAAUCAUUUCUGGAGUCGUGGCGAAUCAAAUCAUCAUACUGCCACUGAUAGGCUAAUAAAGCUUAAUAAAGCGAUCAGAUUCAUGUUCGGAUCUUGCUAUGUGCUCCGUGGGGAAAGUGAACAAUGACGGAGGCAGAGUAGCUUCUUCAGAGAAGCAUCCAGCCUUAGCGAAGGUAGUGAUAUUGACAGAAAUGAUGAUGGUGAUGAUCCCUAUUUUGAACCUUCUGGACCAGGAGAUUGGGAUUUGUGGAUGAGAGGAAUGUUUUUGGUCAACUUCUCCCUAAAAAUGAGAGAGCUGGUGGACCUACAGUCUAUGGCUGUAAGCAGUGUGAACAACCUCUUCAUAUGGAGUGCUUUGACUCACAUUAUGGGUGUUAUCUGAGUGUUGCAUGACUUUGGGUGAGCACAGAGAUGAACACACUGUCAGCCACUUAUUUAUUUUUCGGUUUUAGUGCUGCUUUUGUACUGGCACGAUACUAGGGCAGCUGCAUACCCUUUCAACACUUUAUUUUUUAUAUUUACAUUUGUAUUGAAUGGACACUUUAUCAUGACUGCCACUUGUUUUACAGACAACAAAUUGUUUGUUAUUCUCCAGUGCAGAGUCUUUACUUUUAUUCAUACAGCAGCUUUAUUUUAUUUGAGUUUGUUUGUUCAAGGUUUUCAAUAAUGUGAUGAAAGUUUGCACAAAUAAAAGAUAGUUUUCCUGAAAGCCACACGUAUUAUCUCUCAGAUACUUGUUUAAUUUAGUUUCUAUCUGCUACAGAGGCCGAGAUAUCAGCUUUUUUGUAAACCUCAACACUUAAGAAAACCUCAGGAUCUGGAGGCCCUUCUCAAUAUGGCCCUCAGGAUUUCAGAGGCGUGUCUCAGACAGGGUUCAGGUCUUAAUGGGUUAAUAGGGGGUGUACUGUAUGUCUCUUCUGGGCCACCCAAGUCAAACGGGCCCCUGAUUAAGGACACCUCCACAUACAGUAGACACAAUAGUCAUAAUAACCCAUAAACUUUAACCAUUAUAACAAAAAAAGUCUCUUUUGUUUACCCAGGCUCCGUCUUCCCCCCCGUAUAAAACCAGCUGUUUCAAGCUGUGAGAGUGUGCAUGACACUGGCAACCUCCCGCUGCGGCAUAAUGUGCCAAAGGCAUGCCUGAAAAUGUUAGAAUCGCACUGACCUGGAAAAGUUAUCAGUAGCACUUUGGCUUUUGAGACAGAGUGUGCUUAUACAUUAUGUAUAAAAGAAAAAGGGUUUGCAAACUGUUGCUGUCACCCGUGGUUUUGCUUUCGCUUGCCAUUAAUCUGCGUCAAUGCAAUCUCCCCCCAAAAAACAUAAUAGAUUCAAAGCCUUGGCGAAAACCUGCGUGAAGAAUCGAUAUAAGAAUAUUUGCAAAGGCCAUAACAUUUAUUGAUCUGACCAUCUGAAACACUUCCCAAAGCCAAGGUGAGGGUGGAAACAGACAAAAUAUCAGCCUCAGAAGUACUUUGUCAGAAUAAUGCCUUGGAAGUGUGGAUCUGUGAAGCACUGGUUCACUCUGUGCCCUCUGCACUGUUGAUUAAGAGAGAUUUCUCUCAAUGCUGACCCUCUGAACGAGUGCACACAUCUAAUGUGUUGCGCUCAUUUCCCACAGGUGAAAAGACUCCUGCAGGGAAACUGUGCAAGAAAACGGUAUCUGUGUGUUUGUGUUCACUCACAGGGAAAAGCUUUGGGAAUUACACAUCACAAUAUGGAAAAUGAAUCGUCAUUUAAAUGCACCACUUAGAUAGCAACUGCCUCAGGAAUGCAAUGAUCUGCUAAUUAAGGAAAAAUUCUUAUGCGGCCAUUGAAUUCAAAUACCACAUAAGCCUGGCCUUUAACCCUGACUAAGCAUUGUUAGGUUUAUAAACUGAGGCGAGGUGUCGGGGUCUGCGGGAGAAGUGUAAAGUGGUCUGUUCUCGAAAAGAUUUUCUGUGGUGCAGACUUUCGUCAUAGUAAGCUGUCAUCAACGAACUCGGUGCUCCUGGUGAGUCACCGCUGUGAAAGAUGUACUGACACAUUGGCACAAUGAUAAUGGAGCAGUUUGAGUGCUGCAUCACUCGGUGUAACCACAGAACUUGAGCGAGGUGGAGGAGAGAUUGUGAAUGAUUGGGGCGUAGGUCCCAGAUUUUUGACCUCUAGUUUAACCUCAUAGUUUUUUAUUCAGAUCAGCAGUCUGUACCUGAUAUCGAAAAUCCCUAUCACUGAUGGGUGCUGUUGUAAAGACUUGAUCAAUAUUAUUAACUCAUUCAGUGCCAUUGACGGAUUUUGACGGAUUUUUCAGUUUUUUGUUUUCCACCAGAGGGCGCUCCUCCCCAACAUGCAGCUAAGUUAGGGGUCGUUCUGAAGGCAGAAAAGCCGACAAAUGCAUCAUAACCAUAUUACAACAACAAAAACAAGUGCCGUAUUUUUUGCACUGAUUAUAAGGCGCACCAUCAAUGAAUGCGUCUAUUCGCGUCGCGUCUUCGCACCGGAUUAUAAAGCGCAUUAAGCCGAACAAAACAGUCAGAUAAGUCAAACUUUAUUUAACUUAUUCAAUAACUCCAUGAGGCCUCGGUAGCUGCAGUGCUCCGCGAAGCCAAAAGGAUUUUAAGUGCGCCAUAUAGUGCGAAAAAUACGGUACUCGCCAGUGAGAAGCGUGCCAUCAAGUGUGCCAAUUAGCCAAGUUGAGGAGUGUUUUUGACCUCCGCCAAGGAGGUUAUGUUUUCGGUAGCGUUGGUUUGUUUAUUUGUCUUUACGGAGAAAGUUAGAGAAAGACAGAUUGACCUGAAAUUUUCACCAGAGGUGUGUCUCAGCCCCAGGACCCCAUUAAAUUUUGGUUGAGAUCCGGACAAAAUUCUGGAUACUGUGAUCCAGAACACACAAAAAUAAGGGUGUCGUUGGAAUUUUCAAUGCUGAAAGAUAACCAAUGGGCGGUACAGUGGUGUAGAUGGGCGGCACAGUGGUGUAGGGGUUAGCACUGUCACCUCACAACCUGAAGGUCCUGGGUUCAAAUCCUGGUCAGGGCAUUUUUUGUUUAAGGGGGGGCAUGAGCUGCUUGGCGGAGGUCUGCGCUUUCCGAGUGCUUUUCUAGUUCUUUGUGAGGAGAGUAGGAAAUUACCGAAGUCAUUAGCCAAGAGCUAACGGUCUCGGCGCAUCGGCUCCCGAGGGCGCGGUGCUACCGUCUCUGGAUCCAGUGGAGAUCAUGGUACCUGACCUUCACAUCGUCAGGAGACAAUCAAAGAAACAAUUUUCCUGCAUGUUGUUGUGCACAAGUGCCAGUACCAGUUCAGCGACAGUUCUGGCACAGAGGGCGUGAGCAGUCCGUGUGGUUUACGUCGCGGCGUCAGGUUCCCGGGAGCCGGUACGACUCCCAGCUGUCAUUAAGUGACCUAUCACAGUCGGAGGAGGAGUGGUGUUCAAAGAGGGAGGACCUUGAUGCCAACGGUAAAGUGGUUUGAAGUGAAAUAAAAUAGACGAUCAGAGUUCUGCUUGAAAGUCUCUCCUUCGUAAAAAUGUGUUUUUUCCAGGUUUCUUUUUCCAGAUCACCAAAAAUGAUAUGACCACACUGCACUGAGCAGGCAAUAACUAAACACAGGAAUGGGUUAGAGAAUAACUUUUUUUUCUGGUGAAAGAAGAAAAUCACCCUUUUCUUUUAAGAUAUUGCACUUAAUUCUAGUCCAGGCAAAAGAUUUUCUGUGGGUCCUGAAAGAUACAAAAAUUUCUAUUGGUGAAAAUUGCAUAAAUGAACCUGGCACUGAAUGAGUUAACUUCACCUCUCACUGGUCAUAACGUUAUGGCUUAUUGGUGCAGACAGUAAUCCUUAAAUAAAACCCACACUCUCCCCUCAUGUGUGAUCUGCUUUCUCAGAUAUUUCAAAGUUCAUCAAAAGCGACAGUAAGGUCCCUCACAUGUAUUAUUUAACAUCAUUUUCCCAGCUUUAAUGAUUGAUUGCACCCCUGCUCAGCACUUUCUCUCAUGCUGGCGAUGGUACCAAUACUUUUAUCCCCAAAUUGGAUUUGUUUCAAAGUAAAAACCCGCGCUGGAUGCGUGCAGCCGACAUUGGCAGAACACCUCGGCGGCGGCUGCCAAUCCCUUCCCCUUUCCCAAAGUCUGCGGCGGCAUUUAGUCAUCACCAAGAGUGCCUGCUUGUUGUUAGCACUUACACUAAGCACAUUUUACCUGCUUAUCUUAUUACCCAGGUGUCAGCUGGAAAGCAUGUUGUAAUUGAGGGGAGUAACCUGCCAGUUGAGGUGUUCUCAUUCAUUCACUUAAUUGCAUUGUUCUCACCGGACUGGGGAGUUCUGAUGAAGAGGAGAACAUGACAGGACUGUAAUCAGACAUGUAGCUCCGAUAGAAGAGAAGUACGAUAACAAACUAGACAAGGUGUCAUAUUAACAGAUUAAUUAGAAUAAACAAUGUGAGUGAAGCUUCCAUUCAUUUUUCAGUUUCUCCUUGCCUUUCAUACACAAAUCACCUUUUCCUUUUUAUCUGCUUUGUAAUAUUUGGCCGUCGUCAUCAAUCAAACUGUCCCAGAAAAUAAAAAGAUAAAGCUCCCUGUCUUUAAAGUGUGAAACCAGUGAGCUAUGAUGCAAAAGCACCGUAGCAGGUUUGGCUUCUGGCUUUUCGUAACCAACUCUUGGUGGUGGGUGGAGAAAAUGAUGUGGAAAGAAUACUCAGCUUACACUUGGAGAUAAGCAUCGACAUAUCUCUGCUCAGUCUUAAGACGUACAGUCUACGGUGGUUGCAAAGAUGCCAAAUCGUGUUACACUCUGCCUUUGGCGUUGUGUAAUGCUUCAAUUUUAGGCCUUGACCUUUCAAAGCGUGGCGAAUACGAUUUUUAAGGGGGAGAAAAAGCAUUCACUGCUCCCAAACCCUCUUAGAUGUUGGUUCGUUCUUGAUUCAUCACCUAAACGGACUUCUACCCGAUAGAAGGGAAGCACUUCAUCGCAAUACUCGUUGAUAUCUGACUCAUUCUGCAGUCGUCAAAAUGAGCCUCUCUCUCUGAAAAAGAGUGCUUUUCAGAAUUCAACAAAAGUGACUCAGUCUGUCUGUGUCCCCCCUAGAGAGGCAGUAGCCUUUUGUGAUAUGACCCCCUUCCUGUCUGUGCCCUUGAAAACUGUAACAACCCCAUGCAGAGACCGGUCGAUUGAAGAAUGGUUAGGUUAACGUGAUCUCAUUAGCCUCGAACUCAUGUUUUUGUGGAGUGAAUGGGAAAAGCAAACUCUCGAGUUAAAGUCCCAGAUUGUCUUGUUUUCGUCUGAAUAACAACUCUUGCCACCAGGAGACUGCUCCUUGUGUAAUUAUGUUGUUUUCAGCCGAUGGUGUCAUUAUCAUGGAGUUAGCAGAAUGGCUUUUUCACAUAAUAGUGUACCUGUAGGGGGUAUGAAAACAUGACAGCUCCAGUUGUUCAAGGUAAUUCUGAAUAACAUGUUUGGGUUUAUUUGUGCUGCCGCGUACUGACUCAUACAAUAUGAUAAAAAAGAACCGAGAUGAGGUGAGAGUGUCAGUAAAUCAGAAUGUUGAGUAUGUUGUGUGCAGAUGCCAACGAAAUGAAAACCAAGCUGCCGUGUGGACCAUCCGAUAAGGAUAGUCUGAGCUUAUAUGUACCCGGGACAAUGGCCAGGUACUUCCGCCCACCAUCAGUCUGCAGGGAGAUAAAAGAGAAGACCAACAAAGGGCCAAAAAGGACACAAAGGAACAGGUCCCUAACAGGUGGGAGAGCCAUUACAGUAUGAACUCAGACUUCUGCUUCAGUGUGAAGGAUAAAAUACAGUGACAUUAACUACAAACUCGGCAAAGUGAAGACUAAAAUGUGACUUGGGAAACCACCGUUUGUUUCUUAUAUUUCCACCAUACCGAAUUAGCAAAAAAAAAAAGAAACUACAUUAUUUUUCCCCUUUUUUAUUAAUGUGGCUAACUAACCAACCAAUUAACCAACCAGCAACUUUAAUCAAGCAAGUAACCAAUCAACCAAUAAAUCAACAAAUCAACCAACCAGUUAACCAACUGACCAAGCAACAAAUCAACCAACAAACCAUUUAAAUGAUAUAUUUAAUCAAUUAACCAACCAACCACUUCUAUCAAGCAAGUAACCAACCAGUCAAUCAACUGACCAGUGAACCAGCCAACUAUUCAAUCAACUGAAAAAAUCAACCAGCUAACAAAUCAACCAACAAAUCAACCAACAAAUCAACCAACCAACAAAGCAACAAACCAACCAAUUAAUCAACUGACCAAGCAACAAAUCAACCAACUAACCAAUCAAUGAUAUAUUAAAUCAAUUAACCAACCAACUACUUUAAUCAAGCAAGUAACCAAUUGACCAAUAAAUUCACAAGUCAACCAACCAGUCAAUCAACUGACCGACCAACCAACCAAUUAACCAACUGACCAAGCAACCAAUCAACCAACUAACCAAUCAAUGAUAUAUUAAACCAAUUAACCAACCAACCACUUUAAUCAAGCAAGUAACCAAUCAACAAAUCAACCAAAAUAAUCAAUGAACCAAUUAAUUAAUCAACUGACCAAGCAACCAGCCAACCAACUAACCAACCAAUGACACAUUCAAUCAAUUAACCAAUGAACCAACCAAUUAAUCAGAGGUUGGUAGAGGAUUCUUUCAUUUUUACAUCAAGUGCUUAUGUUACACGAACUUGCACCCAUGUUAAUGCCCAUGGGUUUGUUGGUUUUGAUAGGGGAAUUGUCAAGCGCAAACAAGACGUGCUGCUAUCUUGAGGACAUAGAAAGUGUCUGCACCUUAGACCAACAAAAACCUGAUCUCAGAGUUCGGAGUCUAGAGUUUGGCGCUCAUGGUGCAGUUCGUUCCCUGUUGUUCAGAAGGUGCAUUUGCAAGCUAGUUUGAUGAUGAGAGUACACGACACAGUCCUUUCAUUUUCACACAAAAAUGGUCAGAUCCAGCAGCAAAAAGUAAAUAUUAACUACAGACCUUUCUUUUAUGUGAACCAUGAGGGAUAUCUAACAUAAGAUCCUAUACAAUACUGUCCCAAUUAUAAAACAAUUAAAAGCUUCUGUAAGGAACCAUUAGUUUGUGUGGACUGCUUUGACAAAAUAUCUCAUCCUGCUGACUUUUGACAGACAAAUACAUCGUUAUUUGUGCCUACCCCCCUUAUACUUGUGUAAGUCUUGAAAAAUUACAGUUUUACAUUUGAAAACUCUCAACUCCUUUUGGUCAAAUUUGCAAUUCCAAGUCAUAAUAAAAAAUGUUUUUCAGUCUCUUUCACGUGUCAAAAAUUCCUUACAGGAGCUUUAAUGAAGCAAUUUUAAAGUCGCUUUUGUUUCUACUGUUUAGGAGGUUUUUAAACACUUCUUAUCCGUCAAUUUUUAAAAGCUUACUGACAGGAAUUAAUGUCAAUAAAAUUGAUUAAUGCAAACGAUGCAUUCCUCUGUUGGUUAUGUAGAGCAGCAAAUCCUGUAAAGAAUAACUGCAGAACUCCAGAUUUUAAGUUAACCUUGGGAAGAAAAAAUUCACUGGCCAAACUUGCAGAAACUGGCGAGAGCUGCACCUUUACCAUUGAACUUGAAAAAGAAUACAGUGUAUGGUACAGAUCUAACUUCUGCUCGGCGAGAGACAAGUUUCUAAAGUUUUCUUAAUUUUUCUAAGAUUUUUAGAGCGCAUUAGAAGUGGGUUUUCCAAAAGUUCAUGCUUGAAAGUAUCUGUGAAGUCUUUGAUUUGAUCAGCGGAGGACUGCUCAUGCCAAGAAGUGAACAAAAAAGGCCUUACAUUUUUCUUUUACUCGCAAGAAAGCUGCUCCUUUUUUUUCUGCAUUUAAAGGAAGAAGGCGGACCUUCUUCGACAAUCAGAGUUCACCUUGAUUCAAACACCAGCUUCUUGUCCCUUCAUUAAAGCAGCUCAAACAGCAAGACACUGUGGGACCACAAAUUGCGAGCUUCUGUAGGCGAAGGUCAACUGAGAAGCUAGCGGGUCACUGAAUGAAACAGCAAAUGAGAUGACAAGUAGAAAUCAUCACAGGGAAAAGAGAAGAGAGAGUGAGGAGAGAGAGAGAGAGAGAGGAGAGAGGGAGGAGUUUGGAACGGAGCGGCGAAGUGCACACACACAGAGAAAACAUGAUGCUUCCCUGCGUCACGUCGUGAUGGACGGCACCCUCCGACUAAUAAAUCAGAGGCAGUGAAAAGGCAGGAUGCUGAGAAGGGUAUUCGGAGCAAACGCUACCCCGCGCUGAGAGAGGAGAGACGUGUCGGGAAUGUGGGAGCAGAUGCUCGCACACGGAGAAACAGAGAGAGAGAGAGAGAGAGAAAGACGAGCCUGGCCUAAUUUAGCCCUGCCUGAUGAAAAAUGGACAGGAAAGUGCUUAGUUGGCUCGCCCUUCCCUGCCGCCGCUCUUGCUCAUUUCCUCCUACUGCUUGCCCUAACUCCUUACCUACGUUUUUUAUACCCUUUCUGCCCUUUCCACUCCUUCUAUCUCUACUUGAUUCUCACACUUUGAUCUCUGUUAUCUCCUCACAACAACCCAGCUGUCUCACAGAAAUACAGAGAUACAUAAACUGGCUUGAGGCAGAUGGCAUUUUCCCAUGCAGCUGUAUAAAUAAAAAACACAAACAGUUUCAAGGGAACUUUCAAAACAGUAUGACACAGAACUAGGGCUGGGCGAUAAAACAGUAACAAUGUAUAUUGAAAAUUAUCAAUAUUAAUCAUUAUUAAUAUAAAACAUGGUCAAUAUAAUUUUCGAUAAUUGCCAUUCUGCCAUGUUUUGGUAGACGAUACGAAUUAGAACCAAGUAGCGAACAACUGCGUAGUAGCAACUGCAGCUAAAUGUAACCAUGACAUGUGAAGCUGACAGCACUGUCUGUGAGCAAAAUCGAAAAAUGAGUGCUACCCCUGGCAGAAAUGCAGAUAAAGGCUCAACAAAUGACGACAUCUUCGAUAACACUGGCACGAAAAUGUCGGUGGUGUGGAGGUAUUUUGGUUUUUUGAGGUCGAACAUGAAGCAGAGUAAUGUGCACUGCAAAUUAUGUCGAGUACAUGUUCCUGCAAAGUCGGGAAAUACCUCAAAUGUUUUUCACCAACUGAAGCAGCGCCACACGGCAGAGCACGCGCAAUGUUAAAGGUUACAAACCCUGAGUGGAGCAAGGAGCCUAUGGCGCCUGUGCAGCCGAACAUUAAGUUCGGCAAAGAGACACAAAGACCUCACAGAUGCAGUAGCUUACUGUAUUGCGAAAGACAUGGUACCAAUAAGCACUGUUAAAUUUCCUUUUUAUAUCAUGAUAUAUAUGUCGAUGUUGACUGAUACGAAAAAAAAAUAAAAAUAUAUUGUGAAAAAUCUUUUUGCAUAUCACCAAGUUCUACGCAGAAGACUAUCUAUUCGCAAAAUAAAUGCGAUGUUUAUCAAAUUUCGACAAAGUACAAUUGCAAUUUGCGGGUGUUUCCAUUGAACGGUGUUCAGUGCAUAAGCGAGCCGUUUGCCUCUCGUGAGCCGUGUUUGAAUGGCCGUUGCCUAGCAACGGUGUAAACUCCCUGCCCGUGCGACCUCGUAUUCCUUAAGCCUUUUUGCACACCAACAUGGACGAGACACUAAACAUUUUGCGUUUUGGAGCAGCUAUUUCUGUGACCAUUACUGCUGUUGCCGAUGCUGUCAUCAGAAGACGAAGGCAGCGGGUGACAAUUAAAAGGCAAAGCCCGUAUGUAUGGGAGCGGACACGGAUGAGGGAUUUCUGGAAGAGAAUCGUUAAUGAGGAAAUCACUGACGAAUUGUGGAUUCAAAACUUCAGGAUGACCCGGGAUACGUUCAAUUAACUGUGAUGCUAUUGAGCCUCUUGUGGCACCCGCCAUGUCAAGCCCCCGGGAGGCAGUUCCCACUUGGAAGCAUGAUCACAUGACCCGCUACGUCACGUCCGGUGACGUAGAAUUGCGAGAAUAGUGUUUCCAUUACACUUUUACGAUAUACUUCUAUAUCGACACGUCUGAAAAACCACCUCAUGAGAGCGUAAAAACUUUUUAGCCAUAUUUGAGAGGUUUUUCGAAAUGUAGGUGUUUCCAUUACCAGUUUUCUAUUGCGAUAUUUAAGUUGGGUAAUGGAAACACAGCUUAUAAUGCUUCCUAUCCAUUUAUCAAUAACAUUUAUGUACUCAAGGGUGGUUCUUGAGUCACUGAAGUCAUGCAACGAAACAAAAGUGUCACUUUUUAGGAACUUUUUCAGAGUGUUAAGGCUACAGCCUACCAACUGCUCAAAUAAGUCCCUCAAAUGAUCAGCUUGCAGCUGCGCUUUUCUCAGUCGUGAAUAAAGACCAAUGGCCACUCAUCAGACGCUAUUGUAUUCUCCACGGGUUCUUGUAGAUGCAAUCCUACUUCAGCAUUCUCUUUAAUUAGCAUGUCAAAGGCCGCGAUAUGGCGCCCUUUGACACACAAAAAAAGAACACGUGUUUGUGUUCUUUGUAUGUGAAUGUCGCACAUGUAAACUUGGCUCACAUGGCUGAGAUGUUUGGAGCAGGACACGUGGCUGUACUUAACAGGUCUUGUGAAACUCAAAGCUUCUCACAUCUCUGUGUAUGCCUGCUAAGUGUGUGUCGUUGAACCUUGAGAUAUUUAUAACGUUUCAAACCUUCAGAAUCAAUUGUUGACUCUCCUUCGUCCAAUUAGGGCUACUUCUCUCUGAUCCAUUUCUUUUCCAAGCGUGAGCUCUCGUCACCUUUCUGUCCAGCUUUUGGCUUUUCAGAGGAUGAGUCACUUGCUUACACGCCUGUUGCAGCCACAACACCAGAUUCUCCUUUAUUUUUCUUCAUCAUCUCAAAAUGAAAAGAAUCGGACUCUGGCGUGAAGUCCAGAGAAACAGAUCGAUAUCCUUACGACAUGUGCUUUGAUUCCUAUAAAGAGUUAUGUCAUAAGGCACUGGAAAGCUUCCUUGUACUUAUUUUUUUGUGUGUAAUUUUGUUUCCUUUCUUGUUGCUAAGCAGCCAUGCUGUGGCAUUUGAACAUCCCAGCCCCUCUCCCCAUCUGCGUCAGAAGAAAUAUUCAUCAAAAGCACACUUCCCCUGGAAUUCUAGGCCCGUCUGGGCGAUGUUUCAGAAAUCUGAUUUGAAAUAUUUAAUAUUUAUUUGAAUCAUCAUGUCCCAUUAGAGUAGCUGGUACACAGUCUUUCACAUAGACUGUAUAUACUAUGGACAACUUGGUUCAGCCUUCCGCCAGUAUACGGAUUUGAAGCCAAAAAGCUCUCAAUAAUUCCGCAUUUUUUCUCAAUUUCCUGAAACCAACAUUGCGCAGUGCCGUUGUACGCACUCCACCACUUUUACAGUAGCAUUGUGCGCAUUCAGAGGGAGAGUCGCUGUGAUGAUGCUUGGCUCAAACAGGGUAUUUGAGGUAUUUCCCGACUUUGAGGUAUUUCCCUCAAAUCUAUCACUAUAUAUAUUUUUCAUAUCAGUCAAUCUCAGUAUAUAUCACGAUAUAAAAAUGAGUGUUUAUUGGUAGCAUGUCUUUCGCAAUACAAUAAGCUACUGCAUCUGUGAGGUCUUUGUGUCUUUUCGACAUUUUGUUGUAGAGAAAGUGGACUGAAUGGUCGGCUGUUUCAGCUGCACAGGCACCAUGGGCUUCUUGCUCCACUCGGGGUUUGUAACCUUCUGCAUUGUGCGUGCUCUGCCGCAUGGCACUGCUUCACUUUGCGGGAACAUGUACUCGGACAGGGUAAGUUUGUCUUUUGCAAUUAAAACUGCAAGUGCAUUUAUGUUUUUGUUAUGAUGCAUGGUGCUGAAAUAUGCUGUUAUGAGAUUGCAAUUGGAUGAUCUUGCUUACCUACUCUAUGUAACAUGUUUGGGACUUGUUUCAGCCAUGUUGAUUCAAUCAUGUUUCCCCCCAUGUUUAGAGCUGUGUUCUCAUCCCACAUUUAAUGUCUGUUUGCCUUUACUGAAUCAUCAUGUCCCAUUGGAGUCGCUGAUACACAGUCUUUCCUGGUAGUCCCUGAGCUCCAUCAUGCUGUAGAUUCUUCUGGAUGGCUGCUGCAAAUGUUUUCCUGCCUGCUUUCCAGCUGCAUCAAUCUCGCCUCUGUCUAUCUCUCUCGUUUUUGUGUGUGUAUGUGUGUGUGUAUGUCCUUUUACCGAGCUUGCACAUUCAUAGAGGUUACAGGUCUACAGAAUCAAGUCUUGCUGAAGUGGUUCACUCCUCACUGGGGUCCAUCACCAUGGUAACAUGAGCCGAACACCUAACCUCCUGGGGAACAGGUCAUGUUCAGGACAAGAGAUCAUUCUUCGAGAGGCACUACCCACUGACAGAUCAAUACCUGUGAUGAGGGAGCUCUGUGAGCUGAUGGAGACAGGCGAGGAUGAGGGGAAAUCGCUUUGUCUGCCUGUAUGAAGUGAUGUACAAAAUAUAAACAGACGUUUUCUUACCAUCAAGGGAUAUCUAAUCUGAUUUCCCUCCUCUCUCCUUUGAGCCACAUUAAAGGUUCGGUCCCAUUCUGCUCUUGUCAACAGCUCCAAACUUUUCUCCGGGUUUCCAAAAAGUGUCCAUGUAUACACACCCAGCCUGACAUAUAGCGAGCAAUAUUCACCUCCAGAACCGAGCAAGAGAAAGAAAACAAAACUGAGAACAUUUCAAAUACGGAUCCUUGCUAGAAAAAUCCAUCAUUCACUGCUUUAUUUGCUAUGUUACACUCACAAGGUCGAUACCGGGUAAGCAGAAGAGAAGCUCUGUAUUUGAGGGUGUGCGGCAGAGGCCUCCCAGGUAGUCGCAGUCAUUUUUUUUACCUGCAAAGACAGGCCGUUAUUGUUACGGUGUUGAUUGCUUGACUGUGUGUGCGUGUGUGUUCUUGUGUGUACAUAGGGAACCACGGCACACACAGUGGGCAGCUUGCAGCGAUUUUCACAGAAGGCCAUUACUUUUGUACCUGUGAUGUAUCAAGCGGGAAUUCAUUCUCUCACUCUUUCUGCACGUACUCGGGAUCCCUCACACACACACAUAGGAACUCACGCAGAGCCAGUGUCCCUGUCGUCCAUCUCAGCCUGGCACCCCAGGACAGUGAUGUUUUUUCUUUGGCGCCGACGGCGUGGGGGUAUAUUUCACCGACUGAUAGCAUUCAACGUCUUUCUCUCUCUAGCUUGAUCACUCUAUCUCCCCGUCUUCCCAUCUCUGUUUAAUCCUCUCUGCAUUGUUCCAGCCAUAGGAGACAUGCGUUCGCAGUGAAGGCGAGGAAUGAACACUUAGAAAAUGUCUCAAGCAUUACCUCUAAGUGUCAAAAGCGAAAGCUUUCACGGACAUUCAGCAGAGAGAAAUGUCUUUAUAGGAAUGCAGUUUUCCACCUAUAGAACCAUCAUGACUCCAAACUGCAUUUGACAUCAGGAAAAAAAAAUCUCCUUUAUUUUCUUGCUUUUUACUGGGGGGAUAUGUUUCUAUUUCAAACUACGGCAAAAUUGCAAUGCAGCUCUGUAUCAUUCCUACAUCAGGUUGAGAUGUAAAGUGCUCCCUUGUCACUUCAGCCAUGGUAAACAUUUAGAGUUGUAAAACUGAAAGAUACCUUUCCUGGUCAUUCAGUUUUGAACUUCUGGGGGUAAAACUCACAUUUCACACCCGAACAACAAUCUUUAGGAACCUAGAAUGAAUUCAUAAUCAUCAUUUUUAUGGCGCUAUCAGAUUACUCGAGUAGUAGCGCUCAUAUUGAAAAUGCUGACUCACCCUAAGUUUAGCCACUUUGCGAAUAGCUACAGUGUGUGCCUACCUGUCACCCCCAAUUUCCACCACAUCUGGGACAGCUACAAAAAGGCCGUAUCCGCCGAUCGUAGCUGAUCGUAACCAUUCAAGUUAAUGCGUCAAUUUCCACCGGCUUCUUUCCGUUCCGCUGCGGAUCACCGGAUUCCACAGCUGAUCACAAGAGUUCUAUUUUUUCCACACGCCGGAGCAUGCCGGAUAAAUUCAGCACAGAUUAACCCGUGCUGGAAAGGAAGUCGGGUACAGACACAAAAUAAAACAUCCGGCUUCUUUUCAAAAUAAAACACUAAGUGUUUCAGGCAGAUAUUUCACACCAUGCUAAUGGGCGGGAUGAACAAGUGAAAGGUUUAUAGACAGCAUUUCAUCCCAAUGACACCAUGGAUGAGAGGAUAUCUAGAAGUAGUUUUCCUCCUCUGGAAGGACACAGUCUACUGCUUAUAUGGUUAGCCUAUGUGGCUAAAGACGACUUGUUAUCGCACAAUUGCACGGGAAUCCACAGGAAUCCACGGGAAUCCAUGGGUUCUUGUGAGUUCUCGGGAUUCCUGCUGUCCGUAUCCACCACGAAAUCUGCCUCACAAAUGGAUCCAGUAGGAAUUGGCGUACGGCUAAAACCGCCUGUUUCAAAAAAGCAGGUGACCUCAAGGUCUCAUGAUUUGGCUCAUUAGUUCCCACCUGUCAUUUGUUUAAAGGGGACGCAUUAGUGUGACACAGCUGAGUUGGAGCUGCUGAUAUGGCGCCCGGCGGUGAAUGACCACAAAACUGUAGCCUCAAAAUCAUGAGUGCCUGUAUGACACUUAACAGAGUAACUAUAUGUGACUAUCAUGUAACAGUAAGAUUGUUAUUUUCAUAAUGAUGGGUGUAUGAAUAUUUUCCCAAGAAUACAAGAAUUCUAUGUUUCCCACCCGGCAACACUGAUUCCCAUGUUUAGAAGCGUUUACAUGGAGGUUCUUGACUUGAGAGGAUCAAAACAAUAUUUAUAGAAUGAACCGCUGAUAACCUCGCCAAGAGCAUACAGCUGGUAACUCAACUGAAGCUGUAACAGGACUUAAUGGCGAACUUUUCACAUGUGCCGAGGCUAUAAAGUCAUGAAAUCACAUUAUUCACACAACCUCGUCAAGUUCCCAGAAAUUCAGAGUGAGAAAAAGCUGAUUUUCCUGCUCUAUGAAUGGCAGCUUUGAGGAUUUAGUUGAUUUAUUCAUUCAUUUCCGUAUUUUAGGCCAUCCUUUCAAAUAUGCUCACUUCUAAGUGAAAUUAUGGUUUAAUUUGUUUUUUAAUCAAUCCAUCAGGAAAAGCAUACACAGACUUUUUAAAGAGAGAGAACCUCAGUCAACCUGAACGGUGUGAAUGAGAUAUUUUCUUCUUUUUUUUUUUCACUCAGUUUCUUCUCUGCUGCUGAAGGACAAACUGAAUGUGAGAUCCACAAAUACAAAUCAACAGUCAAUCUGGAGGAAAAGCUGGGACUGAAUGCAUUAAGUUUUUUGUUUUUUUUUACUCAACCCAGUGAAUAGUACUGUGCAGCCUAUUAAAUUAACUAGACUAUUCAUCCUGGACUUUUUAAUGCAUAAAUAGUGACUCAGUUUUUCCUGGUGAAGGUCAGAACGAAGUAACAUGUGAGAACAGCAAAAAAAAAAAAAAGAAAUGCUGGUUCUUAUGAAUAAAAGGGUUGAGGUUGACUGCUUUGCAAGGAUUUGUUGUGUUGAAGAAGUUAAUCCUGACAUAACAAAAGCCGACAUGCUGUUUUAAAGUCUUCCCAGAGCUGCAGAAUUACAUUUUACACAGAACUGGGUAUUUUCAUGUGAUGUUUACAGCCAUAACAGUGAAAUGUAAUAUUAAAACCAGAGUGAGAAUAACUCCAGAGCUACAUUUAAUACUCUUGGGAGUUGAUGUCUAGCAGUGCAAGAGUGGAUUUUGUUUUCUUUAACGAGUCAUCCUAAAGCCCCCCUUAAGUGGAUAUCCAGGAUAAUUGGGGAGCACUCUCCGACCCGUCUCUUUAGCAGUGAUGGUGUCAGCUGAGCUAAUCUUUUAUCCCACUGGUUCUCCAUCCAGGCUGGAGGGUCUAAUCCUUCAGCUAAGAGAGGAUUUCAUGCAGUGGGUUGUGGAAAUACCUUUAUUUUCUGACGCUUAUUUUUAUUUAUUUCUUCACUGAAACAAACAAGACAAAGUGCAACGUUAGACACAACUUUGGAUGGAUGAGCACAAACACAGAGAUGAGUCCGUAUAUCUGGUGUUAUUGUUUAUUACAAACACGGUUAUAGGUGCGAUGACGAGUGCAGAGCUGAAUACGUUUUGACAGAGGUGUGUGUAAAACCUAAUUUGCUACUGGUAGGUCACCGCCUAACAUCCAGGGUCAGCCGGGUUAAAACAGCACGACAAGAUUUAUUCCUUUCCUUUGACUUGACAUUUGCUUAAGUGCUGAGAUUAGCCUUGAGCGGGGUUGUGAACCUGACCUCACUUUACUUUCUACUGCCCCGGACCAUCAGUGGCACAUAUGUCUGUGAGGGUUUGCCUAUUUUAUUUGAGGUCUGAUGUUCCUGUCAUGAAAUUUUAUGGUCACCUUGCCCUCCGCCUACUCUUUUGCUCUCCCUCUCUUAGGAAAGAACAGGGCAGACAAUGGUAGCUAGCUUCCUUAUAGCUUUUAACUGUAACUGUGGACCAAUUUAAGUCACAGUACUCACAGUAAGAUUUGUGGGCUCUUGUACUAUCAUGCGUGGACUACAGCAACUCCUUACUGGUAGGCCUCCCUGUGAACCUCUGCAUGAUGUUCCAAAUUCCUGUUUGGUUUUCUCUCUUUUUUUUCCCCCAUUGCCUUUUAGUAGCAUUCUACAUUACAUGUAAAGACCUACAAUCACUGACGUAACUUGUGAGACGGGCACGGGGGACAUGUCAUUUUGGUUCCCUGCAGUUUUAACCAUCUGAAAAAGUUGUUACUUUACGCUAUAGCAAACUGAUACACCUCAGGCACUAGGACCAAAAGGCUGCUCAAGCCUAAAACUGGUUUCUCUCGGAUUGGACCGCUCACAAGGUCCUUGAUUAGCAAUUUUAGUAGCGACUGCACGAUUGCAAUACACAGAGGUCUAGGGAGCCAGCACAAACCUAAACCAAUGAGCCACUCUGUAGCCACAAAUAAUGCUCAGAACAGCACCUAACUUCAUCAACAGUACAUUAAAGGGUCCCAGCCAUAGCACUAGCCACCAAACAUCUUUUUUAACUUUGACUAAUUUCUUUAGCAAAGAGACUAAACACAAUUCACCCACUCUCUUCCAGCAGCCGCUUGUUUGUAGCGAGACCUAGGGCCAGUACAUUAUGGACUACAGCAGGGUGCCACAGCUCAAGGAAGAACAUUUAUGAUCAUUACUGUAUUAUUUCCUUGACGUAAUAAUCAUCAAAAUAAUCAUUUUGCACUGCAGACGUGGUAGUUCAUCUGCCUUAGCGUCUCACUCUGAUUGCAUUUCCAUGAAGUAAUGAUCAUAAAUGUUCUUCCUUGAGCUGUGGCACCCCACUGUAGUCCAUAGAGAGAGUGAGAGAGUUAUGUUUAGUCUCUUUGCUAAAAAAUUUAGGCAAAGUUAAAAAGAUGUUUGGUGGCUAGUGAUGUGGCUGGGACCCUAUAUGUACUGUUGAUGAAGUUAGGUGCUGUUCUGAGCAUUAUUUGUGGCUAUAGAGUGGCGUUUUGGUUGAGGUUUGUUUAUGGCUCCUCAGACUGCUGUGUAUUGCUAUCGCGUGGUCGUUGCUAAAGUUGCUAUAACUAGAGAAGCGAGCUGUUGCUUCUCGACAACACUGAUCUCUCAAGGGGGUGUCUAACUCAGUGCAAACACCGUUGCACUGAUUAAUUUUACGCUGGAAUAUUCCUUUAAGACACCCCCACCUUUGCAAUCAAAAUUUCAUCCAUGCCUACAAUACUGCAUCUAAAUCAGCUCCUGUCUACUGCUUUCCUUCAUUCAGGGGGACAAUCCACUUUUUGCAAAUGAAAAGCGUCCCUGUAAACUACAUGGCAAAUGACAUGUGACUCAAAAUGGUGUAAAACAACUUUUCCAGUCAGGUAAGAUAUAACGACUCCUGUGUGUCUGUUCAUGCCGUCAGCAUCAGCUGAAGCUCUUUCUAGUGGCGUAGUCUUUUCAGAACUGUGAAUAAAAAAUUAACACGUGGGCCUAAGCGCUGUAUAAACAGACUUUAAAUCAAUAUUUUAAACAUUUACAUCAGUAUACCCCUUCAAGUCCGCAUCCUCCUUCGCCCAGACUGUUAAUGAAUGUAAAGGUAGCCGCAUACUCCCCCACCGAGCCUCUUUACAAGGACUUAUUUUGAAGUGUGUGGGAGCUGUGUUACUAGUAUAUGGCAGACGCAUCUCUUGAGUAUUUAAUAGUGUGUAUUCAUUCAUUACUGCACACUUCAUUUUCCAUAAGAGCCAGGAAAAAACGCAACCAUCAUUUAAAUGAAUGAAUAAACAUGCAAAUAAUAGCUCAGAAGCUCAAAGACUCAUCUCCUCUAUGUAAUAAUAUUGUUAAUUGAAUUACUGUCAUAUUAAUGUUUCAAUCGUGGUAAAGGGAAAGUGUCUGUCUGCAGUGAACUGUGACAAAAAAGAGGCUCUGUCGACCUUUAAUGCAAGUAGCAGGUUUAAGAGGCAUUAGGGUAAAAUAGUCUUUCAUAAAUGUGCAUUUUUUGUGUUUCUCCAGCAUUAUAAUGACCAAAUGUCCUCCAACAAACAGAAUAUGGAAAAUGAGGGAGCUUCGUGCUGGUUAGCAGCCAGACGGACGGUGGGGUUUGGAUUGAUGCACUAAUCUUGUUAUUGUUUCCAAAUGCAAAAUGGCUUUUCGAAAGGCUUUUUAUCUAGCAGAGUGCAGUUUCUUUGCCUGAGUCAAUACAACGUUGGAUCGCUGCAAACAAAAUGUCUCUGGUGUCUUUUGUCUGCCAGCCAGUCGGUUGGAUGCUGAAGGCUUGUCAGAAGCAUUCCCCACUCCGGGUGUUUUCUCAGGCUGUUCAACAGCAAUUACUCUCAAAGUGUUGACCUUUUCAGGAUCUGUCAACGUGGUUUAAAUGUUGGGUAGUUUGUCCGCUUAAAUAUUAGAGGAAUUAGGUUUGGACAUGUUUGAGUCAAGUGUAUUAUUUGCAGGCUAUCCUGUGAAGGCUAUUGUUAUUUUUGAAGAAUAAGGUGAAUCAGAGGUGAGAAAGUGAAAGCCACAUAAUGAAAUGACAAUUAUCACUGAAGGCUUGAAUGGCCAACAAGUUGACUCUGCCCCUUUGUUGUAUGCGUUUGUCAGCCUGACGCAUUUUGCAGCUUAAUGCUUGAAAAUCUGCGUCAUAACAUUUUCCGAACUGACCCAUUCUGCAAAAUCUUAGCAACAUCCAGAAGAGGAUUAAAACAUAAAUUAAAUUAGAACACAAAAAAGGUGUAAUCCCCUUUGCUCGGUGGAUGUGCACUGGCCUUCAUUGUGGCUGCCAGUGUUUUCUUUGGAGAUGACACGCAACUGUAAAUACACACCAGAGAGAGAAAAGGUGCCAAGAGGCUGUGGCAGCACAUGCUGUGUGUAUGGAGUGAAAGCAGCAGAGCUGCUCAAGGAUCUGGGGGUGAUGAAUGCAAGGCUGAGGAGUGAAUAAGGGGGCUUUGGGAUAAUGGCUCAGAGUCAAGCAAUAUUUGACUGUUGCAUUGGGUAAUCCUCUGCUUCCAGUCCCUCUGCCUGAAGGUGAUAAUGCCUCUGCACUGCUGCUGAGCUGCACAUGCGACUGGAAUCAAACACUGGCACUGUUUCAUGUCAAAAGGAAAGCCAGUGAGAAGAGGUGCAAUUGUGUGGCAUAAAGCGGCAUCUCUCUCAGAGUAGAGGGGCUCAUAUAUCUUGCUGUCUUGUCAUCAUAAAUCAGACUGAGAAGCAAAAACAAAACUCAGUCUGUGGAUAAAUAAUUCUGAGUUCACUGUGUCUGCUCAGUCUAAUCUCUACUGAUGCUUACUGUAAACCGUUAAGGUCAAAUUGUACUUAAAGGAUCAGAAUCUAAUCCAAGUUCAACCCCCCUUGUAGAUACAAAAGUGCUGGGAUGACACAUUCUUUAUUUAAUUGCAGAAUUGAUUGAUGGGAGUUGGCACAUUGAUCUCAAGAGUCAAAAAUCGAUUUUUGUCCUUUUAAAAAAUGUCCCAUGUGUCCAUUUUAAGGUUUAUUUAAUUGCUGUCAUUUGGCUGAUGUAUCGAUAUCCACAAUAAUGCCUUCCCAGAGGUUGAAUAAUUGCUUUGCUGGGAAAAACCCAACAAAAGCUUCUAACAAAUAUCCAUAAAAGACAGGCGCAUAAUACAACAUAGCCCCAGUAUUAAAGAGCCCUCUGUCUGAGGGGACUUUGUUGCUCGUGAUCAAGAAAUAAAAACUUGUUCGUUUUUUCCUCACAAACACCAAAUAAGAAGCUCUUUUGUCUUAGACCUUUGAUUUCCAUGAGAUAGAGCUGCUACUUUCUGUACUUAAGCGAGAUCCUCCUCACGGUGUCCAAGAAAAUAGGUACUGACAGUCGUUCAGGGUUAGUGUCGCCUUCCCAGUUCUGUAAAUGUGCAUAUCAUCCCCCCGAAGAUGUGGUAUCCAUGGUUUCCAAAAAAAUGUCAAAUGUAGAUUCAGUAGACCACAGUGAAGUGUCUGACUGAUCAACAGAUCAAGAAAAUCAAAAAUACACCCUUGACAGUCAGGGGGGAUUUAAGGAUUGGGUGGUCGCCUGUCAUCUCAAGGGCUUCCUUCCAGCAUGUCAGUCAUCGGAGGUUUCCCAGUGAUUUUACCGGCUGUAUUGACCCCUCUUGUCAGUCUCCCUCUAUCUUUGACAUCCAGAAGUCAGUACAAUGCUACCUUGUUGAAGGACAAAAUACUUUCUAUCAAAUUCUUGUACACCGUAUCAAGAGUCUUUUGACUUUCUCCAAAGCAUAAUCUGUAUCAUCUAUGAAUGUUAAGUGGCUUUUAAUAUGAGUUUCUUAAUUAUGUUUUACCAGUUUAUUAAAGUACAGUGUUUAUUUGCUGCUGCAUGGCCAAAUUAUGGAGCAACACAAAGUUCCGUUUCAUUGCUAUGCAGAUGACACUCAGAUUUACCAUCCUGAGACCUGAAGACCCUUGAAGCCUUGCUGCCGUUAAAGACAGUCUCUUAGAGUUGUAUGGCCUUGAACUUUCUUCAACUAAAUAACUCGGAAUCAAAAAUAAUAUUGCUCAGCUUUAAAAAGCACGACCGUAUAGUUAAGGGCGGCCAUGAAACUUAACUUUCAAGAUAAAUGGAUCCACAACAAGAACCUCCUUUACGUCAUGAAAGCCUGAACUUGAAGCUGCACUUGUGCAAGUUUUCUAUUAUAUAGCUGAAAAACGAAGAUCUAUAAGGACACCAAAGUGUUCCAGUGUGUUUGCAAGUCUCUAGGGUUAGAGAACUAAAAAGAAAGCCGGUGCAAUCACAGCUGGGUGCUCUUAAGGCGUCUCCGCUGGGUCCUUUUAACUCCCAUUAACCCUCACUGCAGCCUGCAUCAGGUGACUGUCAGGCAGUCGGCAGUGCUUUAAAGCUUAAACGCUGAGCGAUCCUCGAUACGUCAGCAACUUCAGAUAGGGAUUGGGCGGAGGAGUGGGGGGAUUCCCGGGGGGAUCAGUCGUGUCACUGCGGCAGCCUGAAUACUGAUGGGCCUGUACAUGUGUGUGCUUGAAUCAAGUCUUGUUAAAGGGGGCUCGCUGCUUUCUGCACGCCUCGGAUUCUAUCUGCCGUCCUCUGUUUCUCUUGGGUUGACCCUUCCGGCACCUUGAGCUGUUGUAAUUGGAGCUAAGGGGGUCACCAUCACCAUCGUCUGGCAGACCCCCCACCCACACACACACACACACAAACUCAUUCCCAGAAUCACAAGGAGUCCUGUCAUCAAUAACAACACCAAUGCUUGUGGGUGUUAGAGAUGGUAAGGGGGCCCUGAAUUGUGAUUCAUCACACCCAACAAAGCACACACACUCUGUCACUUCAACACACACACACACACACAUACACACACACACCACGGGCUGAUGAUCAUUAAUGAGGACUGGCUCGUCUAUCCCUGCACUCUCUCUCCUGCUGUCCGCUCUUUCAUUACCCAACAUGAAUACCUUACUUGUUAUAUCUGUCUCUCUCUCAUCCUCUCUCUCUCUCGUCCUCUUUUCUCCCUCACCCUUUCAUACUGACAUAUGCAGCCAGCGCACACACACACACACACAGGGACACUGCUCUUCUCCCGCACUUCUCCCACCAUCACCAACAUGACUCCUUGUCUCCGCCUGUGGCCUCAAUCCAUGUGUUAUUGAUUGAAUCCUCUCUCAGACACACACACACACGCGCAUACACACACAUACGCACAUACACACACAGUGCCCACUCAAGCUUCCAAUCACACACAAAGCAAGACCCUGGUGACUAAUACUGGCUGAUCCUCAGUGACCAAUAAAAAGAGCCUAGAGACUGACAGGUUGCUCGGCAGCUCUGAUUUAUUAAGUGGGGUCUCCAGUCUCUCCCCUUCUCCCCUCACCUUAAUUACUUUUCCUUUCUCUCUCCUCUAUUUCUCUCUCUUGUUUCUGAACCGUCUUUGACUUUUCCCUUCUUACUUAAAGUUUCCUUUCAUUCUCUGAAGUAUAAGACAGCUUAGAAAUGUUUAAAAAAGCCAGUUAAAUCUCAUAAAUGAUGCAGCUGAAAAGUGCGGGUAUGGCUCUGUAGUGGGGAGCACCGCAUGGACUUAAAAUCCAUUGUUUCUCACUGCGUCAUUUGAUACAAGUUAAAACCGUCCCAUGCAAAGAGGGAACUGUUUAUAAGAUUGAUUUUUUUUUCUUCUUUUUGCUGUCUUCCAUCUUUUGUUUUUGUUUUUUCUGUGUUAAAAAAAAAGCACAAAAAUAAAAGAGAAUAAUAAAACAGGGAUCACAGAGGCUGUACUGUGAGAAGAAAACAAAAUGUAUUUUUGAAGAAACUAACUCUCUCAGAUACUCAGACGUAAAAGUUGGAGGAGGCCUCAUGUGAGAGACUGCAUGUGCAAAGAGUUCAACAGUUUCAAAAUACCGUAUCUUUUGCACUAGAAGGCGCACUUAAAAUCCUUAAAUUUUCUCAGAAAUCGACACUGUGCCUUAUAAUCUAGUGCGCCUUAUAUGUGAUUACUUGUGUUAACUGACCGAUUUUGUGUGGUACAAUGCACUGAAUAAAGCCACUCCGCUCAAUGGAUAUUCGGUGCAUUACUGUACGCUGUGUCACUACCUGAUCGGCCCCUGAGCAGUUUACAACACUGCCCGACUGUAAUGUCUGAACUAGAAGUGCAUUCACGUAAGGCAGGCCGGGCCCGGAGUACGCGCUAGCAGCAAUAAACCAAGCGAUUCUUAAUGCACCUUAAUCCAGUGCAAUCCAAUCCAGUGCGCUUUAUGUGUGAACAUAGACACGUUAAUUCACAGUGCACUAUAUAAUCUGGUGCGAAAAAUAUACAGUAAUGUAUAAACUAUGAUAAAUAAUUUUAUUACUAAUAUCUAAAGGUCCUUACACACCGGGACUGAUGCAAAUACACGACACAAAAUUACGAAAUAUUCGGAGGCGAAUUUUGAUGCGCCUGACUAUAUACAUCAAGCCUGAUGCGAUUUUGUGACUUUCCCAAAGGAAAAAAGACGUGUCGUGGGUGGAAGUGAGAAGACUGACACAACAGCAGACUGACUGUUUUUCAGUUCUGAUUAGACACUAGUGUUGAGAUGGCUGUCUGUCAUGAUAGCAUGUACUGAGUCGGGGCCAGUACCAGAUAAACUCAUUAAACUAUAAUCCAUAAACGUAAGGUAACAACAGAGACCUAAUGGUGCUGUGACAGCAACGUGAUUGAGUUUGAGACAGUGAAAAUACAUAUGGUAUGUUGUAUCUGAACAGGUUAGCUUACGAGCUAAAGUUACUUAGCACAGAUGAAAGUUAAAACAAAGACGUUUAGCAAACUGUUAAAGCACACAAACCAUCGUCAUAUGAGAAAUCCGACGCUAUGACUCUCCACAAGUUGUCCUUCAGGUCGUUAUCUUUGUAAUAUUUGUGUCUUUUAUCAAAAAGCACUCUGUUCUCCGACACAUAAACAAUCAGCCGGUCGGCCAUGUUGGAUAUACGGGUGAAUCAGACGUCACAGCAACACGAAAUCUGAUUGGUCAGAAACUUGACUGUGAUACGAAAAAAAUAAAUGCUGCAAUAUGGCAGGACGGGAAAACGUCGCUGAUGUGAACGCUUGUAUUGACAGGAUACGGGUUCGAAAAAAAUAUUGACGUCCGAAAUAAUUGCAUGAAAAAAACGCUCCCGGUGUGAAAGGACCUUUAAUCAUGAAAAAACAGCAAAGAAUUGAGAUAUGUCAUCAUUAAUCGGAGUAUAAAGCAACCAGAAAAGCUAGAGUUAUCUCAGAAGUGAUGACACAAUAUGUUUUGGUAUGACUCUGUAGUGGGAGUCCCUGCAUGGACUCAAAAUAACUUCCAAAAUCUGUUUGUCACUGCAUCAUUUUUUUUUUUUUUUUUUGGUUUUUCACUUUUAUAAACAUACAUUAUAAAACCAAACAAACAAAAAAGAUAUCAGAGCACAAAACAAAACCAAAAGAAAUCCCACCCACCCAUGCAUUUUAUAUUUCUACAUAGUAUGUAUGAAUUAUACGUAUGAUUAAAAGAACAUAAGUGAAUAAAGAGAUGGCAUGAGACAGGUAAACGAAGGGCACAUACAGAAAAUAAAUGAAAGGGCAGACAGUCCUCAUCUUCCAGGGGCAGAUGAUGAAUUAUAGCUUGUGUAAAAAGGAGUGCAGAGGUUGCCAGUAGCAUUUUUUUCUCGCCAUUUUCCAUCUCUUAUUUUUUAAUCAAAACAAGGGGAAAGUUACAUUUUCUGAUCUCUAUGAGUGAAUUAGCCAAGACAGAAAAAAAGAUGAGAAAAAGGAAGUUGGAAGAGGCUGUACUGUAUGAGGAAAACAAAACAAGAGGGAAGGGAUAGGUCUGGAAAUAAAGUGAGGGACGGAAAUAGAUGGAUGAUAACAAAGUAAUCUUGGGGGGAUUGCAGGGACCAAGGUAAUGGAUACUGCAGAUCCCAGAGAUAGUGAGACAGGAGCAGGAUUAAGUGCUGAAAAACAAAAUAUUACUUCUGCAGCACACAGCCCUGAUAUAAAGCUAAGUGAUGAGAAAGGCCUGGUUUGUUGCAAAAGUUGAAAUACACCAAGUGUUUUUUUCCCACUGCUGGAUGUCACCCAGACAGUUUACUUCAUAGUUUUAUAUCAUCUCCUGUAUUGUGCUCAUAUUUGUGACCGCUUAAACCAUAAAUCUCUGCCAAAUGUCAGCAAAUAACUCCAUUGGCCGGGGCAGAGGUGCUCUAUUUACCAGGAAGCAGCAGUGUAAGGGUGUAAGGUUAAAUAGCCUGCUUACUGUGUUUUACAAUAUGAGGGUCAAAGGUCAGUCAGUGCAGAAUCACAGAGACAUGGGGUGAAAUUGGCUCGGCCCUGAAUUGACUAAAAUAGUAAGGUUGCCCUAUUCUACCAGGGGCUGUACCAGGGGGGUGGCAAAGGGUGGCACUGACCCCAAAAAUCUGACAGCUGGUCCCACUACAUGAAUUUUUAAAGAGCUGUCUGCCAGGUCAUGAGUUAGUGUGAAACUACUCCACAAUGUUCAUCGCAGCACCAAUGUUUCGUCUUAAAUGAGAAGAUCUCAUCAAUGGAAAGAGUACAUUUGGGUUUUUUGAGCAAGUACAUUUUCUUUUAUUGUGAUUUGUUGUGAUGCAUUUCCUGAGAGCCUAAGGAAUCAAGCAAAGAAGAAUUAUAGGGAUGUGUGGUGCCACAUUUUAAUCAAAAUAUCUACACACAAGAAGUUAACAGUAUUAUACUGUAAUUUCAGUUUCUUACGUUAUGGAAAUAGUGUAGAUACGAAUGGUUGUCAAACACUGCAUACACUAAAUACUUUAGCAGGAAUCAGUGGGGCCCAUUACCCAAAUGCAUUUUAAAUUGAAAUAUCUAUACACAAGAAGUUAACGGUAUUAUACUGUGAUUUUAGUUUUGACAUUAAUGGAAAUAAUGUAGAUACGAAUGCUUGUCAAACUCUGCAUACAGUGACUAUUUUUUAGUAGUCAGUGGGGCCCAUUAGCCAAAUACAUUUUAAAUUAAAAUAAUAAUACACAAGACGUUUACAGUAUGAUACUGUGAUUUUAGUUUUUGACCUUAAUGGAAAUAGUGUACAUAAAAACGGUUGUUAAACACUGUAUACACUAAAUACUUUUGCAGUAGUCAGUGGUGCGUAUUACCCAAAUACAUUUUAAAUUAAAGUAUCUAUACACAAGAAGUUCACGCUAUUAUACUGUGAUUUCAGUUUUUGACGUUAAUGGAUAUAGUGUAGAUAAGAAUGACUGUCAAACACUGCAUAGGCUAACUACUUUUGCAGGAGUUAGAGGGGCCCAUUACCCAAAUACAUUUUAAAUUGAAAUAUCUAUACACAAGAAGUUAACGGUAUUAUACUGUGAUUUUAGUUUUUGUCGUUAAUGGAAAUAUUGACGCAGGAAUGGUUGUCAGACUCCACUCUUCAAUAAUAAUCACUCUAGAACUUGCAGUCCUUUCAACCUUGUUUGUUCUGUUCACAUAAUGUAUUUUUUCAGCCAAUUACAGUGUUGAGUGGUUCAUAUACUUGACCUUGUCCUCAUGAUCAUUUGUUCACCCUCACCUUGUUCAACCUCUGCUUUCUAUGGCUGGUUCAGCUGCUUUUUUUUGUUACUACAUGAAGUUCAAGAAGACUUUGGAUGUAUUGAAGUGGAAAAAUUGCACAGUAUUUUAUAUGUCAGGUUCACAGUCCUAUUACCAGUCCUGUCUGUUUUUCCUCACGUCCUUUCUUCACAGCUUCUCCGUUUCAGAUUGUAGGAGGCUGAUUGGUAUUUUAAAAAACGCUCCAUGACCCUUUGCUUCACGAGUGCUGUGUCACAUUUCUAAAUGGAUGCUCUGCACCUUUAAUCAUAGAAGUGUCACGUACAUAAGAAAGCAGUGAUGAGUCAUCCUUGAAGGCUUUGAAAAGCAUUGACAGGUGAUGUGUCUUCACACUCAGGAUGGGAAGAUUUGUUGUGUUCAAAACGCUCAAAUAAAAAAAAAAAAUUAUGGAAGCGUUUGCGUCUUUAACAAAUCACUCAUCCUGUUUGCGUUGUAGACUUUUUGAUGAUUUCGAAAAAGAGUUAGGAAGUAAAUGUCACCUCUUGAACCAUACCUGUCAAAACACUUUGUUUUUGUAGUGGAAGCUUAAGUUGGAGAUGACAAGUGAUUGUACAUUUUAGCCUUUUGAAUAAGUGUGAGCUGACAAACUCCAUCAGCUUUUACAUAUCCUGGAGAGGCAGGGUCGCCAAAUAAUAAAUGACAAGAAUAUAUUGUCCUUUAAAUCUUUUUUCAUGAUGCUAAAAGCAAAACAACUUGUGUCUUUGACUGGCACAGUGGCAACACAAAACACGAUUAAAAAUGUAUCUGAAAAACACAAAAUAACUAAAAACCUUGGCUCUGUGUGUCAGACGGAUUGAGUUGUUGAGGUAAAAUGUAGCAGGAGGCAACACUUUCGGUGCACUGUGAUAUAUGUCAGACAAUAAAGGCCGUUGAUGCAAAUAUCCGCCGCUUCUAAUCAGCUGUUUGAGCUGCAUCUGAAAGCUGCAUGUCACCAUAAACAAUAGAUGCACUCUGUCUUCAGUACAUAUGCGAGAAGACUUUGAAGUUGCAUUUCUCAAGAAAGACAAAGCCUUACUUCUAACACAGUAUGUCAUUUUUCCACAUUAGGAAGCUUCAUGAUGGACUCGCUGUCGAGACUAUAGCAAUACUAAGUCUGUUUCAAGUUUGCAACUCUUGGAAGUUCAAACUACCGAGUGCAUCCAAUAACUGCUGCUGUUUCCUUUCCUCUUAGAGUAACAAUAGGAUGAGUCAAGAUCCAACAACAAAAGAGAAUAUAUUCCUCUCCAGGAAAUUUAAAAAGAAAACAAAGUAGAUUUUUUUCUUCAAUUCUUUGUUUAGAAGUGUAAGCACACCUGAAUUCAAAACUUUUGUUUGGCUGUCUGAGCUGUCUGAAGGACUGGGCACAAAAAAUGCACCUGUUCCCACCUCACUUUCUUUCAGGUGUUCAGGUUUUUACAAGUUUUGAAGAACUGGUAUUAUUUGGCCAAAAUUGUUCUUUUAGGCAGAGGCGCAGUCGGAAUGGUGAUCAGUGGUGGCAUCGCCCUCCCUUAAAUCGCCACCAUAGACUGUAAAAAACAUGCAGGAAGUUUCAGAGAUGUUAAAAGUUUGUUUUUGUGGUAAAUAUUGGAGCGUAUACAUGAGAGAGUAAUCAUCAGGAUACUUUGCCAUUUACCUCCACCGCAUCCAGAACGGCUCUGAAAAGGCCAUAUCCACCAAUCGUAGCUGAUUGUAAUCAUUCAAGUUAAUGUGUCAAUUUUCCAACAGCUUCUCUCUGUUCCGGACGCCGGAGCAUGCCGGGUAAAUUCAGCGUAGAUUAACCCGUGCUGGAAAAGAAGUCGGGCACAGACACAAAAUAAAACAUCUGGCUUCUUUUUAAAAUAAAACACUACGUGUUUCAAGAGAAUUGAAUUUCAUACUAUGCAAACGGGCGGGGACGAACAAGUGAAAGGUUUAUAAACAGAAUUUCAUCCCGGUGAAACCAUGGAUGAGGAGAUGCUGAUUUUAGAAGUCGAUUUACUCUCGAAGGACACAAUCUACUGCGAAUAUGGUUAGCCUGUGUGGCUAGAGACAUCUUGUUAUCGCGUGAUUGCACAUGAAUCCGUGGGUUCUGGUGAGUUCUCGCGAUUCCUGCUGUCUGUAAUCCGCCACGAAAUUCGCCUCACAAACGGAUCCAGUAGGAAUUGGCGGACGGCAAAAAUUGUUGUUCCGGAUGCGGAGGAAAUCCUGGGUUACUUGUGGCUCCGCCCUCUUUUGGGAAAGCGCAGUCAGUCUGAAUUGACUUGCAUCAAAAGAAAACUCCUUGGUCUGUAGGAAUAUAAUCCCUCAAACAAAAAUAUAGAUCUAUAUUGGGUAUUGAGAGCCCAAGUAUGAUAAACAGUAAGGGUCCAGUUCUGUUGCUCCACUCUUUCUGUAUAAGGAUCUCGUAGCUCCUAUAAAGUAGUCGAUAGCCCUCCUUGGGUCUAUCCAAAACAAAAAAAAUUGGUGCAUCUCGAGAAAAACUUUUGUGUUUGUCACAGUAUCUGUUGAGGCUCCUUUAUUAUGAAGUUACUACAUCAGUGGACCAUAAAAUGGAGGCAAAAACACAUAAGGAAGUACUGAAACCCAGAUUGCCUGGUGGUCUUUGUUGUAUCUGUACUUUUGGGUUGGGUGUUUCUUGUCUUCUUAACAACAAAUACAGCAAAGAUUCUUUAUUGGAUUUAGGUCAGCUGGUUGGUCCAUCAAGAAUGGAAAUAUCAUGACCAGCAAAUUGUUCUGUAGUAGUUUUGACGUUGUAGGUAGGCACUAAAUUCUAUAUCUAUUGCGCUUGUGAGUUGAUGGGCGUCAACUGUAAGAACAUACAUGAUACGAUUAGCCUGGAGCCCAACAGUUGCCACUACUGAUGCAGUGAUUUGGAAGUUUUUACGAAAAAAAACAACAAAAAAACUCCCAAGGUGCUGCCACAGGAUUAUAGAAAUUAUGCCAUUUGUGUUCAAUACAAUUUUAUUGUCGUCUUUUGCUCAAUUCAUUAUCUAAAGCUGCAGGGUAUGAGCGAGCAAAAUCAAUUUGGAAAGGAUAAAAUGAUCUCUUGUGAAUUUAAGUCCUUCAGAGGUGCAACAUGUAACCUGCACUGCUUUCAGUCCCAUGAAUAGAGUCCAUGACCACACUCACUCAUUGUGGGCUGGUUAAAAAGCUGCAAUAAAACUCACAGUAUUGGUUCAGGUACUUCAAGUGACUCAUGAGAUGUGUAAUUGCUAAGGUCAGAGUGUAUCUGCCGGUCUCUGUGUAUCUAUUUCUCAGCUUCUGGGUCUUUUUUAAAGACAGUGGCAGGUACCGUGAGCUUCCCAGUACGCUUCUCUCCUUCUCAUAAAGGGCUCAGUUCAGAGUCCGCCCGUUCAAUCCUUAAGGGUCACUUCUGUCAAUCCACGCUCUCUAGGGGUCUUAUUGGAUGUAUGAUUACUUGACAUUUUCUGAGAAUACCCAAAUCCCCCCAGUGCUUCGCUUUAAUCAACACUGUAAAGCUUGGUCCUCACCAUGUGGCAAGGCCUUGACCUAUAGCCUCCUGCUUAAUCAAACUGCAGGCUUGGAUGUGUGUGUUAUUAUUGCUAUUUUAGAUUUAAGCAGCAGACGGAUACAGUUUGUGAAAAUUUUCAGUGUUUGGUUUUUGGCGAGGAUAUCCACUCAGAUCUGGUAAAAGUCGGUUAAUAUGACUUUGGCGGUCUUGCUGGGGAAAGGUUAGUCCUGGCUUUGUUACAGAGCAGAUCCAUGUGGGGAAAUCUCUUCACUUCUACAUGUACAGCAAGUCAAUAAGCAGCUGAACUCGUGUUGAAAGCUGUGCGCAAAUUUUUUUUUUUUCUUUUCUCUCUUUAAAUAUAACCAUUCUGCUUUUUGAUGAUUAAUUACACAGCUGCACAGUUGGCGUUAAAGCAGACUUAAAGGAGGUUUGUGUAAAUAUUUAAUACACAUAUCAUAUAUGAAUUUUACCACACUCUAUUAUGGAUACUACAUUAUUCCUCCCACUCUUUUACACUUAAGAAGGAGUGCUGGUUUCCCAUGCUCCACAUGAAUAAUGUAAACGUAGCGUAGGCAGACUUCUCGAAAAAUGCCCCGUGAAAGGGAAUAAUGUAUAGUUUUUCUCUCCUCUCCUCGCUCCACGGGGUGUUGUCCAACACUGACGCUCCAGCUGUGACGGGGUCCUUUUUCAUUAUUUAUCUCCUUCUGCCCGUCUGACCCCAUCAGAAAAAUGAGUCAGUGGUCAGUCGACAGAUUUCUGACUCCCCGUGCAGAGCUGCUCCCGCGACAAUAGAUGAGACAUUGACUUUGACAUUGAACUGGACAUGAGAGCUAAGUUGUGGGAAGUGGGGGGAAAAGGGGGAGGUAGAAAGGUGUCUGGUGUAUACGUGUUUGUCAUGCUGUGGCAUAUGUCUGGUGUGUUGUUAGCAACAUCGACAAGUGUGAGUCUGGAAACAAGGCGUUGGGUGGACGUCACUAAAACGGACUUAUAAAACAACAUUAUAUUAGUUCAAUAAAUGGACCUCCGAUGACGGCAUAGCUUUAUACCUUUCUAAAUUAACAUAUCUAUACAAGACCUGCACUGAUCGAAUCAUUAAUUCAAUUUCACUGCUGUGUCUCAUUCAUGAACCAAUCCUUUUUUUCUCUUAAUGUGGUGACUUCCCACUGAGGUGGGGUCACCGCAGCGGAUAUAACUCCAAUCUAUGCAUUUCACGUAUCUGUGACCUUUUUUGAUGCACACAAAUGGAAAAAAGAAGAGGGGGGUUCGGUGUGCAUCACAUCCAAAUGCCACAUGUGGGAAUGCAGUUUGAGUCCUCUAAGAGCUGGAGUUAAAAUAUGCAAAGGUAUAUACUCAUUUAUAUUAGUUGGCAUAAUCUACACUGCCUCCUGUAUAAACCCACUCAGGAUUGCAUUAGCCAUGUUAGGUCAUAUUACACCAGAGAAUAAGUAGCUCCAAUAUGGGGGAAAGGCCACCUCCUGUUAGCCCACCUCUCUGUCUAAUCAGUCCUGAUUAGACAGGAAUCAAUUUCUCAUUUGCUUAAUUUGUGUGCUUUAGAAAGGCUGAAUAUUUGUUGGUUACUUGGUUGAUUAGUACAAAUAACUAGCCCCAUUCACAUGUCCAAAAGCGCCUACAAUAAUGCCUUAAAGGGAUAUUCCGGCGUAAAAUCAAAUCAGGGUCAAACACACUGUAACACCAAGUUAGACACCCCGUCAAGAGAUGAAUGUUGCCGACCGCUUGCUUCUAAAGUUAUACCAACUUUAGUAACGACUGCAUGAUAGCAAUACACAGCGGUCUGAGGAGCCAUACACAAACCUCAACCAAAACGCCACUCUAUAGCUACGUGUAAUGCUCAGAACAGCACCUAACUUCACCAACAGUACAUAUCGGGUCCCAGCCACAGUACUAGCCACCAAACAGCUUUUUUGCUUUGCCUGAUUUAUUUCGCAAAGAGACUAAACACAACUCAUCUACUCUCUUCCAGCAGCCUCUUGUUUGUACCAAGACCUCAGGCCAGUCCAUUAUGGAAUACUGCGGGGUGACACAGCUCAAGGAAGAACAUUUAUGAUCAUUACUUUAUCAUUUUAUCAGCUGUUCUUCUGCCUUAGCGUCUCGGUCUGAUUGUAUUUCCAUGAAGAACAGAGUAGAAGAAGAAGAAGAGAGCUGCUGGAGGAGAGUAGGUGAGUUGAGUUUAGUCUCUUUGCUAAAGAAAUCAGGCAAAGUUAAAAAGACGUUUGGUGUCUAGUACUAUGGCUGGGACCCUUUAUGUACUGCUGAUGAAGUUAGGUGCUGUUCUGAGCAUUAUUUGUGGCUAUAGAGUGGCGUUUUGGUUGAGGUUUGUUUAUGGCUCCUUAGACCGCUGUGUAUUGCUAUGGUGCGGUCGUUUCUAAAGUUGGUAUAACUAGAGAAGCAAGCGGUCGGCAACAUUCAUCUCUUGAGGGGGUGUCUAACUGGCUAAACCCACAGGAUCCGGACGGCGGAUGGAUUCUGUGGAAUGACUCACAUUGAUUUGAUGACUCGGUGUUACAGUGUGUUUGACCCUAAAUUAAUUUUACUCCGGAAUAUCCCUUUAACAUGCAAAUUUUUGCAAGGCAGGGUGAGUUUCCCUCACGCCAUUUCGGUCUGUUUUCACCAAACAUGGUUGAAGAUGUGUUUUUAAAACUUCCCAGACAACCCGACCUCUUCACUAACUUUCCUCAGAGCAAGUUUCUUUUUAUUCUUGUUAGGAUAGAAAAACAAGUCAAAUUGUACAGCUCAGAGGAAGCGCACACAUCACGAUUAGUUUACAGUUCUGCAGGGAGGCUUAUUACCACUUGCAAUUUGGAAACAGCCUUCCUGAAUACAACGACUUUUGGCUUGCAGAUCGAAGCUGACAUCUCUGCUUGCAUUAUUGCAGUCAUGGAAGUGCACAACAGCAAAGAGCGAAAUGAAGACAUUGUCGUGAGUCUGUUUACUUCCCCGAAGCUGCUGGGCAUCAAUUAGCCCCAUUGCAAGCUGUGAGGCGGUGACCCCUGCGUCUGUCUGCUUGCCCUCCGCCGAGGCGAGCCCAGACCUGCAAUAUGCUGGCAUGAAGACAGCCUGUGUGUUUAUUUUUGUCCAUGUGUGAGACCUGGAUAUGCUUUUCUGUUUUAUUUGUCCUACAUUCGCCAUCAAGCCCCCCCCCAAAAGAUUACUUUUGUGCAUUUUCAGCUGUAUCUGCGUGCAUGUUUAAGUACUUUUGUAGUAAAAAUGAAGUCAUUUGGUUGUAGUAGCAAUAAAAGAGGCAAUGUGGAGCUUGUUUCGUGGGAGCAAACUCUGUCAGCAGGCUUUAAUCCAAAAUAGAACUGCCUUUUAUUCCUUGUAAUUAGAAGAGGUUGGAUUUGUUGAAUACGCUCAUCCAUAAAUAUGGGUUAGUGCUGCUUGGCCAAUAAUGAAAACGGAAAAACAGGGGGGAUCAAAAAGCGUGAAGAAGGUCCUCGACUUGAAACAACCCUGCUUUGAUGUUCCCAGAUACAUGAAAUCAAUUACACUGGUUGUGAAAAGAGUGUAAGUGCGUUACCCUUCUGAUUGUUUCCAAUGUCAAAAGUCUCUGUGAUUAUUACGCGGCUGAUUUGAGUGACGAAAAUAAGAUGAAAAGGUGUUACCCCCCUUUCCUCUUGGUGUAACUGACCCACUUUUAUGCUCGCAGUUCUUGCUGUAACAAGGCGCACACUGCUAAUCUCUCAGAUUAAAUACUCAAUUGAAUAAUUAUGUGGCUCAACAUGCAGGUUGCACCCUGUAUCGGUUUUCUUAAUUAGCUUCAUACUGUCUAACACUCUUGCGCAUGCAGUAGCUGCAGAUUCGCUGCCUAUUUUCCUGCAGGACUCUUGUUUUUCACCAGUUUAUCAUGCAAUAAAUAGACCAACACUGAAUUUGAAAUCUCUGUUAUGACUAACAGGAUGACACAUAAGAUGCAAAAACCCCAGCUUCAUGUGCGCAUGAUGUUCCAAGCAGAGGAUUAAAUGAAUAUCUGUUAGCGUUUCACUUCUUCUUCAACACAAGCGCGGCACGCAAAGUGACAAGAGGAGCACGUAACUGAAACAGCCGACGACGACACAAGUGUGUAUUAUUUGCAGAAAAUCUCACUUAGAGCUUUUCUGCUGUCGUUGGGUUUUUAAAAAAAAAAGUACAGAGGGAGACAGAAAAAAGACAAACUGAGGGGAAAAAAGGACAAGAACAAUGGCGAGAGAGAAAAGAGAGAUGGGGUAAAGAGAUAGAAAACAAAGAAUGCAGGGAGCAUUGUGGUCUCCUGCCAAGCUGAAAGGUUCAAACUGAGGCUGAACCCCUCAUUCAGUGAGAACUCAUUUCAUCGCCAUCACUGCCAACACCUGUGGCUCCCAUGGGAGGGGGUGACUUUGUGCCUAUAGAGAGAGAAAAAGAGAGAGAGAAUAUAAAUCUGUUUGAGAUCUGACCUGAAUUUACAGCAUUUGUUGCUGGUAAACAACCGCUCUGCAGCUCUGCACCGGCUUGAUAUUGUGUUUAAAGCCCCAUGGCUCAGUUGGCUCUCUAACGCUUCGUGAUUUGUACAUUGAAUUAUAGGCUUUAUUUUUUGUGUAAUUUGUGCUGCUCUUGCCUAAAAAAUUCAUGCAAGUCAUGUAAGCGUGCGAACUUUGACUGGGAGCAGUGGUGUGAAGCUCCUGAAAUAUUUACUUCUCAUUCUCCACGCCAUACUCGAUGAGCACAUGCAUUUAUGCAACAUGUUUUCACGCAGUCAGAUGCAAUUCUGUAGCUUUUGAAGAUACAUGCUGAGAAGCGGCUGACAUAAAGAUUAUUGUACCACAUUAUCCUGGGAAUGGAGGAGCGCAUUCUAGGAAACAGGGAGAGUAAGUAACAACAUCCACUGAACAUACAGAUCUGUAUUCUUUAAAGGCCAGUUCCUGCACUUCCCAUUUUACUGCUUUUUUUGCAUUUGUAUUGAUCAAAAAUCUUCACAGGAUUAAAGUUAGUAGAAUGUGAGCUAGCUAAUGUAUGCAGUAACUCAACUCAUAGUGAGGGGAUCUGAACCUGCCAAGCUUAUGCUAGCAGCUGCAUUUUCAGUUGAAGAUAAAAGAAUGAAAACAGGUUUAUGUGCCAAAUAUCUUAAGUAAUUGUAGUGAAGCAACCAUGUAGGUUUUAAAGGUGGGGUAGGCAGGAUUCCAUUAAAGAAGCAUCUCUUUUGUGGUGUAUAAACAAAAAGCUUUUAAUAUCAGUCAAUAGCUAUUAGUUAUUGAUGACAUUUGGUUAUAUAACAAUAUCGCUGUGUUUCGUUAUGUCUGUGUAGUCAACAUUUUAAAUUUAUUAGCGGUCCGCUCUUUCUAACUAUUAACAAAGCCAUUCUCCGCCUCCCUUAACCCGAUUGGUUGUGAGGCGGACGCUGCUCCCCUGAGUCAUUCACAAGCCCAAACAAAGUUAGCGUGCUACAAAAUCAGACAGUAGAAACCAACCAGAAAGUACAGAAAAUUGUCUGAAUCCUCCUUUGGCCACGACUGCCGACACAAGCAAGAAAACAAAGUUAAUACUGGAGACUCUGGCAGAAUAACAGGUGCUUAAAAAUCCGGGCAAGAACUACAAAGCCGGGUCAACAUAGCAUAAACAAUAGGGGACACUUCGGGAUCUUACAGACCCUGUAACCUUUCUGCUGGACAGGUAAACCGCUUUAACAAAGUAAGUCAAGUGUCUGUAACAGAAGUGUUUCUUGUCAAACAGGGCCUGUUGCGUGUUGUAGCGCCGCUAAACUGUUUACCUCGGGUCCUGGACUAUGUCACUUUAUCCUAGUUGUAGAAGUCUUGCAAACAUUGUGUUUGCUGGUAGUCUGUUGGCAUCUACAGUAGCACCAAUGCUUUUUACUUUCACGUUGACUGGGCCCCAUUUGUAAUUAUCUAAAGUAUUUAUCUGCAUUAUAUCUGAAUUUAAUUGGAACGAUACGAGCGAGCAGGAGUGUCUGUUUGUGGGCGGGGCUUGCUGGAGCAGAUACGGAGGGGAGGAGCUGGGGAGAAAUCUUGAAUGUAAACACUACCCCUCCCAACCAGUUUUGCCCUAAAAACCGGCACUUCCUCAGAUCCUGCCUACCCCACCUUUAAGUAGCUUCAGAUGAAAAAAUAGAAAUUCUGUAUCAAAUGUUUCAGCCGAGGUGUUCCUCAGGGGUCAAUUUUAGGCCCAUUGUUGUUUUCCAUUUACAUUCUUCUCCUUGGUGGAAUAUUCAGUAACUACAAUAUGCAUCACUGCUGUUAUGCAGAUAUCACCCAGCUAUAUUUCCCUUUGCACCCAUAAUAAUAGCGAUCGAUGCAAUGCAUAAUGCAUAGUGAAUAAAUGAUUAUGCAAAGGAGGCUACAUGAAGAAAAAUACAGCUCCUUCUUUUGGAGCUUUGUGGGAAAUAUAAUUUUAACCAUAAAUUAGGCAAAUGUAACAACUGUUGGUUUUACCACUGAAGCUUAUGGUUUACUCCGCCAGUAAUCUUUUGCCUGGAUUGUAUGGUAGGAUUUCGCUCCAGUUUUCAGUCCCCAACUGUGCCCAAAAAAUCUGUUUUAUUUCCAAAAAGUCCCUUAAACUAAAUAACAAAACUGAACUGAUCUACUUGGACACAUCUGGUUCCAUAAGCAACAUAACAGGAGGUGGCCUCUUCCAGAUAUAUGUGUUUAUUGACUAAUUUAACUUGCCAUAACCACAUAUCAUGUUCUCAUCUAUACCACAGUUGUUUUUUUUAGAUUUCUGUAUAUUUUAACACCCCCCACAUAAGCCCCGAAGGCGCGUAGAUCCUGUUAUUAAUGAGGUUUUCAGCCCACAUGGUUACAUCAGACAGAACUCUAGAGAUAUUCAACACACAGUGCUAAUGAAGUAGUGUUUAUAAGCUACAGAAUGUAGGUUAAAUGAAGGCGUGUGAAAAAGUCUGAAUGGAGAAUCAAGCUUCAUGGACUUCUGUUUGAUCUCGGUCCAUAAAUGGUUUGAUUUAUGAUUGACAAGUCCUACAUUAGGGGGCUCAAGGGGACCUGUUUUUGGAGUUCUCCAAGUGAAAUGUUUUCCCAGUUCUGCUUGAUAUCAAAUCAUGAAUAUAGUUUAGCGAUGGGGAGAACAGUUCUUUUGACUGUACUGAAUCUUUGGAAUCCCUUAAAUGAAACGAAGAUUCGUUCACCGAAUCAGUCAGUGCUUCGGGGCCCCAUCCUGCCGGUGCAGUAGACCAGUGAGUGACACAGCAGCGAGUUCGUUCAUUGAAUGAGCCCCUCCCUUCCCCUGCUGCUGAAGUCACAGCACUGGGUGACACAUGUCGUUCAUUCGCCAAGUAUGAAAACUCACCACUCUGUGUAUCGCCAUUGGUGGAAACAACACAGCAGCACGCACGCUAAAGGAGCCCAAGUCGUCGUUCUUUUAUAUCCCGGAAAAGUGGAGAGAUUGAGAAUAAAAAAUCACAGCUGUAGCGGGGAUUCUGCUAGUUUUAGAGAUAUCAAAUAGUGUAUUGCGUUAAAUCGUCUGAAAUGAAUUCCUUUUUGCAGGAAAGUUUAUACACGUGUUUUAAUGUAAAGGCACUUUGAUGCACUGUUUUAGCUUAGCCUUAGUGAACAAACCAGUGCACAGCAGUAAGUGAACGACGCUACACCCCUCCAUCCGGUUACAUGCUGCCACUCCAACAUCUCAGCAUUCCGACCAGAGGGCUCCGCAGCCGACCAUAGCAGACGAGAGCUGUUGGAAUAACAGGACAUUUGAUAGCAUGGUAACAUACCGCCACUCCGACAAUUAGAGAUGGCGGGAUGUCAGAAUGGCGGUUGCCCCCCCCUCCAUCCCCUGCCUGCCUCAAGUCAUUUGGAAGUCGUUCGUUUCGUUCACAGUCUGACUGAUACAUGUCGUUCAUUCGCUGUGAGCAAAUCACGAGACUCCACCCGCCAGCCCGCUCGCUUGAGAAAGGCACAAAUCAGGUUUUCUGAGUGAUUCCAUUCACGUCGUUCACUCAGCAGUUCCGUUCUUUUGAACAAAACGACACAGCACUAAUAUAGUUUCCAUGAUUUCAAAAAAAGAGUGUCAAAUUUGUCAGGGUUGUACUUUGCAUUAGCCCGUCUGAAAUGACUCUAGGCCCAGAGAAGUCACUGCUAAUUCUUGAGCGCUCUUUGGGUGUGAUUUUGAGCCUAUGCAGUGACUUCCACUACAGAGUCAUGCCUCUUUUUAGUGCAUUGCUGCCUAAGAGCUGUCUUGUAUUGGUUUAAGACCCUUCCCCCUUCAAUUAUACACUUAAUAGCCUGGCGUGUAUUAAAUAGAUGCUUUAGUCAGAACAGAAGUGAGUCAUAUUCAGGCAAAAACAUAAGACGCAUCUUCGCUCUGUCAGUUAAACUAUAAGCGGAUGAAAACAACAUGUCCUCCCUGUGUCUCUAUUUUUGAAGUGUGGCUGGACCUUUGUGCCAUCCAGACUUUACUUUGAAUGCAUCCCCACUCAUGUUGAUGUUUAAACAGAGUGCAUACAUUACAGUUGAUAUUUACAGCAUUGUAUAUACAGCAGUGAAUUUCCACUUGUCUACUGAUCUGUGUCAUAAAUGACAACAAUAGUGGCCAACUGGAUGUGAAGUGUACAAAACCAUGCAUUAUAGAUAAGCAAUCUCCUUGAUGGUGUCAUAUUAUUUAUGCAUCCUGUCUCAUGCUAUGUUCAUGAUAUUUAAAGCAUUCAUAUGAUUAACCGCGAGCUUGUAAGCACCCAGUGUAUUUGCUUUGGUAAAUCAUCGGAGUGAAUGCCGAACAAUACCCCUGAGAUACAGUUUCUAGCCGUGCACUGGGGAGAACAUCGCAAAGGGCAGUGAAGGAAAAAUCAGUGUGAAGUAUAUUCUCCAGUGUUCAUUUCUUCAUCUUGGUUGAUAGAAAAAUAAUGGUUUAUGAUUUUCAUGCAUAUCCAAUAAAGGUGGGGAACGACUCUUGCAUUUCUGAGCAGACCACACCAUUAAAAUCUCUCCAUGGGAUGAGCGCUGUGUUCAAAGACCCCCAGUGGCGCCACCCAAUAAGAAAAAAAAAAAAAGAAAAAAAAACACUGACCCUUUAUUCCGCAUUUCUGGAAAUACCCAGCAGCGGCGUAAUAUAUCACCUCCGCAGCCCACCCAUGCGGCUUUGAUCUCCCACCACCUACAGUUCCAAUUGACCCCUAAGCUGCGCCGUCAGAACAUAAGGGCUCCAUUUGAAGCUGCAGCCGAUUCAUGAAGACCGGCCGACUCUGAGAAUCGAGGGUUUCCUGGAGCCCUCAACCAUGAUGCAUAUUUCAAAACUGCCCCUCUCUUAUCAAACAAGGUACAAUAAAACACGCUGUAAAUCUAUUUACCACCGACUACCAUCUGCGGUUGUAGACGUGUUGUACCCAAGUAUGGAGACACCUGGAUUGUGGUGGUGUUGCGCAUUAUUGCGUGGAUUAUAGGUGUUAUAAAUGAGCUAUUUUUUUAUAAAUAUUCAUCUGUAAAAUGUUAAUGCUCUUUAAGUCUGCAUAUAUCUCUGUACACAACAGCAGGCAGCCGUGGCAGGUUCUCACUGAUCUUAUUAAGCUCUUAUCAGUCGAUGGAGUCGCUGGCAUCACAGAGAAAUAAAAUUAAUGUGCUAUGAACUUGUGAAAUGGAGAAUUUAUGUUCUCCAGAUUGCUAUCAGCAGAGUACGACAAGCAAAGAAACUGAAAAAAUGACAAAGCAACACGACCUGUUGUCUGUGUUGAAAUCUGUGGAGUGAAAAUCCUUUCUGCUCCGUGCUCUCGUACACAACAGCUGUAGCCUUUUAAUAAAGUAGCGGGUGGCCUUGGUUUUUCUGCGAGCUGAGGGCUGUCAGAGGUUUGUUUGAGCUCAUGAGUGUGUGUGUGUGUGGGUGUGUGUGUACGUGCACGGGUGUGGCGCAGUCCUGUAAGCACUCAGCCAUGGCAGGCGACUGAUUGAUGGCUGAGCAAGUCCAGGAUGCUCCAUGGCUGCUACAGAUUGGCACAGCGGAAACCUGGCACUGCGAAUGCUUCGAACUGCACACACACACACACACACACACACACACACUCUUUCUCCCCCUCUCUCACACACUGAACAUAUUACACAUAUUUCAAUUUUUUUCCCCUCAACACCAAACCACGGGCAGAACAUCCAGAAACAGGGGGCUGUUACCCACAUCAUGUCAGCGCUUGAACUUGCCAAGUGGCGCAUUUUAGUGCCAGGAUGUAGCUGUGAACAUAUGGGGACAGGUUUUGCAUUGACAGGUUGUUUCAAGCGUGUAAACCAAUUUAUGCAAAAUCAUUUUUUGCAUGUUUUGGAUAUUUGAUUUGACAAACUGACAAAAACACUCAGAUAUUUACCUUUUUAAGGACUAUGACUUUAUAAGGUUAUUUACAUUAAAAUACUGAAAUUGCACUAAACCGAACUUCUCAUUGUCAUACUUACACACCUAGAUCAUGUAUUUGAGAUUGAUUUUCUCUAAUUUGUAUGGCUCUAUUAAACUGAAACUGGACCAAGUGUGCUGUGUAUGCUCCGGAGUGAGCACGCCAGUUCUUGGCCUGCCUAAGAAAUGAUGUAAAAAAGAGAAAAAAUCAAUCAAUCAAUUAAUCAGUCUUUAUUUAUAUAGAACUUUUCAUACACAACCAUAUAGCACAAAAUGCUUUAUACAGAAAAAGGAGGGAAAAAAAGGAAACAAAGAUUACCCAAAUCUACCCCAACCCAAGAUUAAAAGAAUACCCAAAUCUACCCAAGCCCAACCCCUCAUUCCCACCCCAUGAUCUAAAUGCAUCAGAAACAGUAUUAAAAUGCAUAAACUUAAAAAGGGCUUGAGUUUGAAAACAAAACUGAAAACAAAGUAGCAUAGAAUGAAAUUUAAGAAAUAAUAAAUAAAAGGAAAUGAAAUAAAAACAACAGUAAAAGAUACUAAAAAAAGAGCAUCAAAAUAGCUCAAUGAAGACAAUCCUGUCAUUUAAACUAGAAGAGAUAAAUGCCAAAAAACUUAAAGUUAAUGAUAUAAAAUGUGGUCUUACUGUAAAAUUUUACAGUACAGAGCUGUGAAGGUGAUGGUGUUUUUACCGUUGGUCAUAUGCUAAUAUAUUUUAUCUAUUGUUUGGUUACUCAAAUGGUCAACUUGGAGAUGAGUUGGCAGUAAUGAGCAGAAGGAAGGCAUGGGGCCACCUACAGUAGGCGGACAUACCUCCGUUAAUGGUUCAAUUCUUGCCCAGUGCUUGUAAACUUGGACAGUAGUCCAGUUAAAUUGCCCAAUAGAGUGAUAGCUUUAGCUCGAUUUAACCUACCUUCACCUAAGUCAAGCUAAACAUAUUUUUCUGUAUUAUUUGUACCUUCCCAGAUGUGUAAACUAGCAAUGCAAAGUUCUCCUAAGAAUCCCUAUACCAUCAGGGAUGCUGGCUUUUGAAGAGUGAGCAGAUAAGCCAGGUGGUCUUCCUCCUUUGUAGAGCAAAGCUUCCCUUAAAAGGCCUUGGUUAUAUCCUCCUUUUGUUUAGACUGGCACAAAGUGCGCCCACAAACAAUGGGUUUUGAGUGUGUUUUUGAGCCUAUGAAGUAAUUUCCACAAUAAAGUUCCCUCCACAGAGCUCCCACGAAACUCUCAAACAUCAUGCAGAGCACCACGGGUGAUGUAUUAUAGGUGCUGUCACGAAUUGCCAAGGGAAACUGCAGUAUGGAAAAGACCUGAUACACCAAAAAUGUCCUGUCCUCAAAAGUGCUAGAGUUCCUGUGAUGUGUUGAUAGUACUAAGGGGUCAUCAUUAGUCUUCUUUAAGGCUCUAUGACAGUGAAACAUUAGCAGCAAUAAAUCACAUACUGUGAAUUGGUGCUUUUUAAAAAAUGCCCACCUUUAUAAACGAUACUCAAUCAAAAAUAGUGUCACAUCCAGGAAAAAAAGCCACACAACAGAUGGUUGUAAGAAAAGUAACAACCUGGUUAUUUCUUAUAGAACUUUUUACAGCUAAGCUACUUUUGUCAGCUGAUGGAAACCUUAAUUUGAAAGCACUUGCAUAAGAAACACAGAGAAAAAGAAAUCACCACAGGUGUCAGACAAGCAGGAAUGGUGAAGAAAAACGAGCCACAUUGAAUUUUUAGGAGUUAAUAAAGUAUGUACUGCAGUGGAUGUACCAGGGAACAUGAUAUCCCUAAGGUGCUGUAGCUGACAGAAAAAAAAAGUGCUACUACCUCCAGCAGUUUCUCUGCUUUUCUGAAUGGCUUACAUGAGGUAGACACACACAAGAGAUGAUGUAAAAUUACAGGCAAGCAAUUUUACAAGAAUGGAUAGAGCUAUCUUGGGAACCAAUGUAAACCUUUUAAAGAUACGCUGACAAUGACUGCAGUCAUCCUGUAUACCUGCUGCAAAAACACGCCUGUUUCUUUACACAAAUAGUUGAGGUUAUAACAAAAAAACUGAGAAAAAUGAAGAGGAGGAGGAACGUCUCACAUCUGAGUAUUUUAAUUUGCAACUAACAUCACUUUAAAUAAGAGGCUUAAUCUCUCAAGAAGAAAGUGUCAGAGACUCCAAGAGUAAAUAGUUCCUCAAUUUCAUGUCCAUCAAGGUAAAAUUGCAGCAAAAGUGCAAAUAUGAUUUGAAUCUGGAGAAAUCGCUGUACAAAAUGGACAAGGCUGACAAAAUACACUAGAUUGCCAUGCUCUUUGGACUCUCAGAUGGCUGUACAUUGAAAACAGACAUGACUCUGUAGUGGAAAUCACUGCAUUGGGCUCAAAUUGACUUCCAGAAUACAUUAUUUGAGAGUCCAGUUGGUUGAAACAUUCAGAAAUACAGGUUAGAACUGAAUUCUGAGAGGAAUCCAUAUAAAUGAUUCAGAUAUACAGCAGACUCACUUUUUUUGGAAUUGGGGUUGAACUAUUUAAUACAUUUUAUGAGUGUCCAUUCCCCCUCCAAGCGGGAACUAUAUACCACGUAGUAAAAGCUGUCUCCAGUUGGUACACUCUUCUCCCAGCUACGGUAUACUCAUAAAAGGUAAAAGUGUUGCCAAAAAGGAUGGCUCUCAGCCUGGCUCUUUGUCUGCAUGCAGGGAGGGCGAAUACACACACGAGUGGAGGAGAAACCCUUCAGUCUCUGUGGGAUUCGUCUGUUUUUUAGGGCAAGGAAACAUCUCGACAAGUACCAUCAUUUGAUUCAAGAGCUCAAGGUCAGGGAGUGCUUUCAUUUCAGCCAGACACAGUGUGAAGAGUUGGUCUGAAAAAUUGGACCAUCUGUAUCAGAGACACAAAUGCUGGCAGGCCAUCAGGCUGAAGGAGUAUCCCAAUUUGCUAAAGUAGCCUGUGUGGCGCACUUUGGUCAAGUUAUUUAAUGUUGGGUUAUCGACCCACAGUAAUAGUUUGUUAUAUGCUUUCAGGCACCCGUCAUUGGAAGAUUCAUAGAAAUCAACAUGUUUCAAGAGUUGCCUAGAAAGUAUGAAUCAUCCUCAAGGUCCUGUCCUACUUUGAUAGACAGAAAUAGGUGACUAGGUCCACUAGCUUUAUAAUGUGCGUCACUUUACUGUUAUCCAGCUGAAACUGGUGGGUAACUCAGAUGGCUGUUCCUUCUCAAUUAGAUCCGCCAAUCUGGGGUGAAAUUGUGCUUCAGCAAAUGUGGAGGUGUAACAACACCAAGGGGCAGGAAUAUGCUUGUUUGUGCCAAGUCGUUGCAGAUCCACCAAAGUCCUUGGUGCCUUUCCAAAAGUAAUCAAAGCAAGGGUGAAGGCCACUUGCAUACUUUGUAACUUCCUACGCUAGGUGGAGGCAGAAUAAGAAGAGGAAUGUUGUCCCACCCACUCUUAAAUCUUCAGCUUGCCAGGCAGCCCAUGCAGCAAGUAGGCUGGGAAAUUAAACUCCAUAGGGAGGCACUGGAAAGUAGACAGAGGGACACCAGCUACUUUUCCUCUCCAGAAUACAAAACUGCGUGGCAGCAUUUUUGUUGUUUGAGGCCUCUUCAACACCCACCUCCACUGGGACAAUAAAUUCAAGAGUGGUCAUAUCCCAGAGAGAAAAAAAUCUUUCUCCUUUUGCCUUUUUUAAAAUACCCAACACAAUGCAAUAAUGUAAUAAUAGGGAUUGUGUUGGACAAUGACUGUGACCUUUAUAUGGUUCUUUACAUUGGUUACCACCCACCAUUGAAUGGAGAGACAAUGAAGAGGAAGCAUCCACUACCAAGCUAGCUAACUAGUUAGCUGUAGCAUCCCUCUGAAAACCAAUCAGUAACUUUAAAACCAGUGUAUAACAAUUAAAACACCAACAAAUUGAACAUUAAUGCUGUCUCUUUAUUUUUAAUGUAGCUUUUGAUAAACCAGAAGUAGAAAUAGAAGCAUCCACUACCAAGCUAGCUAACGAGAUAGUAUUUGCAUCCCUCAAUGCUGUCUCUUUAUUUUUAAUGUAGCUUUUGAUAAACCAGAAGUAGAAAUAGAAGCAUCCACUACCAAGCUAGCUAACGAGAUAGUAUUUGCAUCCCUCUUAAAACCAAUCAGUUACUCUAAAAACUAGUGUUGAUGAUUAAAACACCAACGAAUCAGUUAUUAAUGCUUUCUUUUUAGUUAUUUCUGUAAAUACUUCUGGUUUGAUAAACCAGAAGUAGAAGAAGAAGCAUCCACUACCAAGCUAGCUAACGAGCUACCUUUAGCAUCCCUCUGAAAACCAAUCAGUUACUUUAAAACUUGUGUACAACAAUGAAACACCAACAAAUCGAUUAUUAAUGCUGUUUUUUUAGUUUUUUUCAUGUAACUUUUGAUAAACCAGAAGUAGAAGAAGCAUCCACUACCAUGCUAGCUAACUAGCUAGCUGUAGCAUCCCUCUGAAAACCAAUCAGUUACCUUAAAACUAGUGUAUAACAAUUUAAACACCAACAAAUCGAUCAUUAAUGCUGUCUUUUUAUUUUUUAUGUAGGCUUUUGAUAAACCAGAAGUAGAAGAGGAAGCAUCCACUACCAAGCUAGCUAACUAGCUAGCAUUAGUAUUUCUCUAAAAACCAAUCAGUUACUCUAAAACUGGCGCAUAACAAUCAGAACACCAACAAAUCGAACAUUAUUGCCUUUUUUUUAGUUAUCUUUGUAACUUUUAAUAAACCAGAAGUAGUGUGUUGGUCAUUUCAAAAUAGAAGCAUGAAUUUGCUGUAGAAGAAACAAGAUAGCUGAGCUGUUGACAGUAUCUAAAGAAUUGCCAAUUUCUGAGUUUUAGGGGAUUGUGGCUUUCCUCAAUUUCUAUGAUACAUUAACACUAUCAUUAUUAUGUUACUUUUUUGGAAUGAGUUAAAAGUCUGAUCUCCUGACAUCCUACACAAACUUUCUAGAGCAGUCUUCUCCAUCUACAAGUGUCUAUCACACCCUCAAGCAACACUCCUACCUUGACAUACUCCACACACAACUUCUCAUGACUGUGUAGGUCACCCUAUUUUGCAUUUAUAGCCCAGGCAGUUGAAAAUGGACAUGUCCCCUUUCUCAUUUUUCUCUCCGUCCCUCAGGUAUUUCCACACUUGUGACACAUUUCCACCGAAAUUCCAAGGGCAGAAAGAUUACAGACUUCUGCGGUACAAGCAAGCAAGCAUUAGUCUAACUUGCGCUGAAUAUUUUAUGUCUGUCUUUGCUUUGACAUUGUGUUAAAUUUUAAAAUCUGUCCUGGCCUUGACAUUGAAAGAGCAGAAUGUUCUUCAGCCGAGAACUUUUUAACGGCUAGUCUGGAAAUGAGGAGACGUUUCUGAAUCCCAAGUGUUUUUCUAUUAGGAACAGACUUUUUCACAUUGGAAAAAAAAAAAAGUAUCAUAGCUCAUUGAUUACAACCAAUGUUGAUUGGUAGGUUACACAACUUUGAGAAAACAGUCUGGUUUCUGUAAUAUGUGAGAAAGAAACUGUCUGAUUUUCAUUUCAUUCGUUCUGCUUUCCUGGGACUGGACAAGCGCCAUGCCAUUGUUCCUCCAGUCCAUUAUUUAGAAAUCCCAAAAGUCUGGCAGCCCAUUAACUCUGGAAAAAAAAAAAGAAGACAAAUAUAAAAACAAACAAUAUCACAAACCCAAAACCACAUAAUGGAUUAAAUGAAGCCUUUCCUGCCUUCAGAAACUCUUUUUUUGCAGCUGAAUUAGUGGGGCUUGCUUAAACUCUUGAAAUUCCUCCCACACUUACCUAUAAUUAUACGUACUGUAUAUGCUAAGGACCCUCAUUGGUGCAAUACAUUCCCGAGUACCUUACCCUCAUAUUAUCAACAUAACUAGACCAAUGGGAUUCAGGGAACCUUCAAAUAGCAAGUAGUUCUUACAGUGCAUUAGCGAAAAGUAGGCGGUUGAGUGCCACACUCAAAGACCUAGCCUUAUUAUCUUAGCUUUUUGAACCCUUUCCCUAUCUUUUAAAGUGGUUGCAGUGGCCAUGGUGAUGCUUAUCCCAGUAGGUCUAACUGAGGUUUUGAGAGAUGUUGUUGUCUGUAAUUAUUCCAAUCUGCUGUGUUCCCUUUAGUGCUUUUCCAUUCUCAAGGUUGCGCUUGCUUUAGGGAAAUCCGGCCUCCUGAAAUAAGCAGAUACGAGCAGUAUCCUUCACUUGAGGCUUGGAGGCAUAAAUAAGGGGCUACGCUGGAUUUUUAAGGUUCAAAAUCCACAAACUUACCAAAGCAUAAAACCCAAAAUGUCCGACCAUCGUUCCCUGCACUUCCACAUAGACUAAGAGCAAAAACUGUAGAAAAAUACCGGUAACUACAGUCAGCCAAGAACCAUUGUAUUGUUUCUGUAUUGUUUCAGGAUCCCAUUAACCUGACACAUCCCAUGGAACGUUAUAUUUCUGAUUUUGUAUGAAAAUAUAAGUCUUUCAAAACACAUCUUUGCAUGGACUAGAUUUAAUUACCGCUGGGAAAUUACUUGUAAUAAAUUUUAUGCUAGUAAUGAUUUCAUCCCUAAUAUAAAACACAACAAAAUCAAGUCUUUUUUGACACAUUGGUGCUGUAUCUGUAUUUUAGUCAAUGGUUUAAUAUAAACUGUAUUUUCCAGACUAAAAGUCGCGCUUGUUUCAUAGUUUGGUUUGGUUUAGGACUUAUACUUAGGUGCGACUUAUAUAUAUUAAAAUAUCACGUUUGUUAUUUUCACACUGACAGCUGCUAGAGGGCACUCCAGUUGUUCAGAAGUGACACAGAGGAUGAGAAAUUCGAUGGAUUUAAUGAUUUGGAGUAAGAUCGAGAGUUCGGUAAACUUGUUUUGUUCUGUUCUUUAUACUGUAGUUAUCUGAAUAACUGUUAAAAUGUUACCUUAACAUACCAGACACCUAUUGAGUUCAUUGUUUAUGCUUCAUGUAGCUGAAUAAUCAUCAACGUGCUACAUUAGCGUACUGUACACCUAUUCAGCCUGUUCUCGAUUCUUUUAUUAUCAUAACUUGCCUUUCAAGAUGAAAUGUCUGUUCUUGGUCUUGGAGUUUGUAAAAUAACCAUAGUUUCAUGUGCUUAUCUGGUACUGGCCCUGACUCAGUACAUGCUAUCAUGACAGAAAGCCAUCUCAACACUAGUGUCUAGUGUCUAGUCCUCUGCCUCUUCAAACUUGGAGCUAAUUGUUUCAGCAGAACUUCAAAUUGUCAAACGGACAUCCGAAAAAUAGGUUCUGAAGCGACCGUGGUACGCGAAGUAGACUCCAUUUUUGUCUUCUUGCUUCAACCCAGGACACUGCAGGAUGGUAAGGGAAGGCCCCGCCCUCCUUCGCCUCUGAUUGGCCAUAAGUGCUGA